RNAcentral lists this long non-coding RNA (73700 nucleotides) under Coffea arabica (coffee). RNAcentral describes it as "long non-coding RNA (CARA_LNC006980)". The record is from RNAcentral. Lineage: Eukaryota; Viridiplantae; Streptophyta; Magnoliopsida; Gentianales; Rubiaceae.
UUGUUCUUUUUCAACUUCAUGUUUAAAAAUGGUGAACACAUAUUUGUGGGUAAAUGUUGAUUUCCUUUGCCGAAGAAUCUCCAAUUUUAUUGUUCUAUGCAAGAUGUACAUGUAACGUAAUAAAGUUGUAACUAGGGCUGUGCAUCGAAAUCGAAAUCGGUAAAUCGGAAGUUUGAAAUUGGAAUUUUUUGAAAUUUUGACAUGAAUUUUUCCGACCGAAUUCGAUUUCGAAAUGGCCAAUUCCGAUUUCGAAUUCGAUACCCGAAUUUCGAAUUCACCGAAUUCAAACCUACUCUACUCUUAGUCUACUGCACUUCCUCCCUUCUCGGUCUAUUGCUAUUCUACUUCACUCUCACCGACCACUGCAAACUCCUGCCAGUCUAAGUCUACUCCGUUUUCUCCAACUUUCUCUACGCUACUUGUGAUUUAGUAAGUAGUACAAACUGCAAAGAGAAACGACCAAUGGAAGGAGGGUUGGAGCUGAGUAAAGUGACGCUGGAAAUCUUCUCCAAGCUCGAGCAACAGUGGUUGCAUCACUGCCAACCCCCAAGAAGACUCACAUUCUCAGUAUCGACGGCGGCAGAGUCGGCUCCCCCUCUGCCAUCUUCGCCGCUCAUUCCUUGAUCCUUCUCGAAGACCAGAUCCAUGCCAAAUCCGCUGAUUCCCAAUCUCGCAUUGCCGAUUUCCUCAAUCUUAUCACCGACACUGGCAUUGGAGCUCUUUACGCUGCAAUGCUUGCCGCCGACGACGGUUAUGGACGUCCUUUGUUCACCGCCAGGGAUGCCGUCAACUUCAUCGCCCAAAACUAGUCCCGGCUCUUUAAAGUCAAGGGCACCCUCACCCUUUCAAGCUUGCUUUUGGUUACCGAUCCGAUCGCAAGUAAAUGAGAUACUCUAAAUAUACCAACCCUGUCCUCUGUUCUGGGUGUAGUCUAUCGCCCUUUCGGCCCACUGAGUAGGCCUUUUUCUUUCAAUACGACGGCCUCAGCUUAUUCUUUUAGACUCGUCCCACGAAGCGGUUUGGAACUCGUUUCGUAUGCGGUAUCACCUCUUUAGUUGAUUGUCCCGGCGAACCUGAGUAUGCCUCCUUUCCGCCAGCCUAGGCUUCGGAAUUCUCGCCGACAAAGGUUCUCUGGCAGGAGCAUGGAUGUGGCGUGAAGAUGGAGGUGAAACUGAGAGUGAGAGAGAGUAAGUUGAGGAAGUAGGAAAUCACAGUGAGUCGGAGACGGAGGAAGGAAGGUGAGACAGUGAGUCAGGCGUGGAGGCGGUGGAGGGGAGGAGAGGAGAAGGAAGGUGAGAGAUAGUCUUGAGAGACGAUGAGGAAGAGGUGGCGAAGAGUAACAAGAGUUAACAGAUUAGGUUUUUGCAAUUUCAAUUGUUAGAUGUAUCAGUAUUAUUGUUAUUAACUUAUUAUGUUAUAUAAUAUAUAUUAUAUAUGUAUUGUUAAAAAAAUUAUAUAUAAAUAUUAUUAUUCGAAAUUAAAAUAACAGUUCCGAUUUCGAAUUCCCCAAUUCGAAAUCCGUAAUUACGAUUUCAAAAAUUAUAUUUUCGAAUUCGAUCCGAUUUCGACCAAUUCGAAAUUGGAAUUAUCGAAUUCCAUUCCGAAUUACUGAAAUUCCGAAUUCGAAGUUUCGAAUUCAAUUCGAAAUCGGUCGGUAAAUCGAAAUUUUUCGAAUUUGCACACUCCUAGUUGUAACUAGUUGACUAAUCUAACUAAAGCAUCCCAUAUAACAAAAGUAGUGUGUCUAACUAACUAAUUAGUCCACAACUGGUUAGAAAGUUAUUUGUAUAAAGUACUGCUACUUUCAAGGUCAAGAAUUAAGGCCCUAUUUAAAAGGUGAGUUUUUUGGGUGUUUGUCUAAAAUUUUACUGUAGUUUACUGUAGAAGUUUUUUAAAAAAAUUUUGAAGUGUGUUUUUUUUUGAAUAUUUUGAAGUGUAUUAUUUAAAAACUUUGAAAAUUUUUUUGAGAUUACUGUAGGUAAAGUUUUAAAAAAGUUGUAGCAGACAAACUUGGCAAAAAACUUGGCUUAAGUUUGGAUUGCAUUUUUCUAGAUCUUUUGUAGAAAAAAUACUAUAACAAUUUAAUAUAUGUGAGGUAAAAAGGUGAUUGGGAAACGUGUUCACCGAAAACGUAGCAAUUUUUCUUUAGAAAAUGACUGUCCAAACAAGGCCUGCACUUGACAAAAUUGUUUUCCCCACCCACAUUUAUAGUUCCUACUAUUUAUGUAACUUAAGUUAUAAUGUUUAAGUUGAUUGAACUGCUAUAAUCUUAUAACAAAGAGUAUAUUUGGUACACGUAUUAUUUCUAUCUUAUUUACACACACUGAUUUAUUUGUAUUAUCAACAAUUUUUUAAUCACCUUAUUUAUCUCACAUACAUCACAUCAAAAAAGUGCUACAGUAUUUUUUCACAAAAUUAUCUCAAAUAAUUUACUAUCCAAACACACUUAAAAUUACAUGACAAAGUUUAAGUAUUCAAUUUGAUAUAUAGCUUCCCAAUUGGGUUGUUUGUGUCAAUUGAGAAAUAUUGAAAAUCCUAUCAUGGGGCAAAGUGAGAAACAUGUUUUGUCGAGGGGCAUGUUAGUACCUCCAAAAAGAAACUACGCCGUCCCGUUAUCUUUGCUUCUUUUUGUCUGUUUUCUUCUCCUCCCCAUCUGUAAAACCCUUCACCGGUUCACCCUGCUCCAAGUGCUCUCUCCUUGGCCCUCUCUGAUUUUCUCGAAGUGGGUUCUUCAGUCCAGAAGGUAACAACUAAAGGCUCGCUCUUUUUCUCUUCCUUCCCUUCGAUUUUUAGCUUUGCAGCAUUGAAUAUUGAAUUCUGAAUUUCUUUUGACUGGCAAAAUCUUUGUAUCUGUAGGGUUUUAUUCUUAUUACGUGUUUGAGCUUAUAUUCACAUGCUUACAUAUUUCAACAGCCAUUUGGUAUAAUCUCAUUGUCUUGUAUAUCCUGUUUUUCUCCGUAUUUAAUUCCGGAUAACAUGGGCUAGUAAUUUUAUAAUGUUGAUUACCAAAAAGAGGAUCUUCCAAUGAGGUUUUUUUUUUCUCCUUUUUCUUUUUUGAUAGUGCUCUCGUUGAGACUCAGCAUCAUAUCAUUUUUCCUUGGUCAAAGAAUUAUUCAUUUUUAUUGCCCUGAUUCCCUUUAUCUUAAGCUUAUGCAAUCACUUAGUUAUGGAAUUUUUCUGGAACAUUGAUAAGCUUAUAGUUUAUCUAGAGUAAUAACAGGCUUUUAUGCAUAUUUGAUGCUCCUAUGUAUGGCUUUUGCUCUUUCCAUUUCCCUGCUUGAAGAUAAGAAGUGAGAUUGCCUGAAUGUAAGCUGCUGCAAUGAUUGAAAAUGGUGUACUAUUUGUGGAAGUGGUUAUUAUGCUAUAAAAUUUUCAAAACAAUUUAUAUCAUUUUGUAAUGAAAGGGUUUUGUGGAGGGUAAGAAAUACAUGGCAUUUGAAGGAAAGGGAGAUAGAAUUUGACUAAUAAAGAUCAAUGUUUGAAAAUUAUGUUCUGUACUUUCUUAUCAGAAUCAUUGAGCUGUUGCGUUUCCUUUAUUGAAAAAGCAGAACAAAAGAAUUCUUGGUCAGGGUGCGUCUCUUUGGUGACACGCUAAUUGAAUUUUGUGGAGAAAAGUCAUGUAGUUUGCCAUAUUUUAAAUAAAAAUAAGACCUUUCUUGAUGGAUUUACCUUUUCUUCCCCUCUUUCUCCUAUUUUUCGCUAUAAAGGUUUUAUGAUAGCAUGAAGUGUAGCGGUUGAGCAAUUAUCUAGAAAUGGUGGAUUGGUGGUGGUCUAUAGUUGCGGCUGCAAUACCAGCUGUGGUUGCAGGGCAGGCUUUCAGGAUGAAGAACAGGCGAGCGGACGAGCAGAGGUUAAAGAGUGCUCGGGGUCGCGAAAAGAGCUCAGAUGAAAUAUUUGUUUGUGAGAGGGUGUGUACUUCGAAGAGGAUGCUGAAGAAGGUUGGCGCAUUUUCUAAAGACCCAACUCCUGAUACUUGUGUGACUGUUUGCGGUGUUUCUGAGCUAGAUGCUUGCGCUGAUGCUUGUGCCCGGACUGUCUGUGUUAAUCAACAUCAAGUGCCUAAUUGGAAUGACAUUUGUCUUAAGAGGUGUCAAAGUGAGUGCCUUAGGCUCUCAAAUUCUUCUGCUAUGUCUUCAUAGCAUUGCUAUUGUUUUUAAAAUGGCCUCAGGAUUCUACUGCACCUGACGUUCUGUUUGAGAUGCGUAUCCCUUUUCAAAUUCAAGAUUUAUGCUUCUCAUAUUGAUGGUGCUUUCUUAUCUCGGUUUUAUCUUCUGGUUGACAACUUCAUGUUUUUUUUAUAUCAAGUAUUUUCUUUUUAUAUCCAUCCCGUCAUACUCCACUAAACUUGAAGUCGGGGGGAUUUUAUCUACCCCAGACGCAGAAUAACCUCAGCACAUGGAAGAUUAGGGAUGUAGCAUCCAUCAUCUCUGAUGAGGGAUGAUCAUGAUUGGCUCCAUAUUCAUACUGCCUUGACGCAUGGUUAAUGGGGUUUAUUCUGUCGCUGAUGGUUAUAAUCCAAAUGGUAGUAUGAGAAAUUCCGAUUCUCCUCUGUUAAACGCUCACCCAUGUUUGAGACUCUAGAUCUUUUAUUUCAAAUGAUGGCAAUGGGAGAUUGCUGAUUCUGUUUUGCUUGGUAAUAUUCUGAGUUUAUAUUCUCUGAUUCUCCUCUGCUAAGCUAAAUUGAAGAUUAAGCAUGAUGGAAGACGUAAGUUUAUUAAAUCCCUUGCAACACAAAGCAAUUUCCUCCAACAUGUACAUCUAUCUCUUAAGAUGGGCACACUGCCCUGGUUAGUGUUCUCUGAGCUUAAAGCUAAGAGAGAAUCUGGAAGUGUUACACAGCUAUAGAUUUAGUAGCCAUGCAGUCUCAAUUCCCUGCUCGUCUACGUACAUAGCCUUAAAAUUCAACUCUCAAACACUCGAGUCAAUAUGAAUCAACUGCAAGCUAAAUCCUUGCCAUAUUGACUUUAAUUUAGACAUGAAUUCGCAAGCACAUUCACAGCUACUACUACAUACCAAGAACAAUCAUCGGUCAUUGACAAAUUUUUGCCUGCAAAGAGCGAGAUUGUACAUAGGCUUCCCUACAUGGAGCCAGUUCCAGAGCAACAAAAUAUACAAACAUUUUAACAUUUCUACAAACAUAGGGCAUCAGAUGAACAACUAAACUGAGUACCAAAUACACUUCCGACAACCUAAACAUCAGCCACCUUAUGCGAAGGAAUCCAAUCAAAACGUGUCCAAAAUUUUCAGCACAUCACAACUUAGAAGCUGAUACUACUGUUACCAAACUCAGUCCCCCUCCCUUCCAUCCAACCAAUCUAUUCCAAUUCCAACUUAUAAGCAGGUUCUUCUUGAACCCAUCCACCUAGUCAGAUUCUUCUAACUCAUCAGCAGGAAAACACAUUCCCCGUGUAAUCCAUCGGAGCCGAAUUCCACCAUUCACCUCCAUCACCAGUUCGCCGCCUCAUUCCACCGCCAACCAAGUUCACUGCUCAUACAUUGAUCACAUUCUUCCUAGGCCUACCUCUCUUUUUAGCACUCGGAUUUGACACUCUUGCCACCUUCGCAGUCUUCUGCUCCUUCCUCCCACUCUCCAUCCCCACCCCAGCAUUACCACCAACAUUUCUAUUAUUGUUUUCCUCAUUACCCGGAAACAUCGGAGGCAUCCAAUUCGGAAACCCAGAAGCAUCAACACCCUUCCCACCAUCCAAAUCCCCACUCGCAAAACCCAUCGGAAAAAAACCCCAACAACAGUAAUACGCCUCUUUCCCCGGCACCGCGGCGGCAUUGCCGAAAUCUCCAUCCCAGUGAACGCCCUCUCGCAAUUCUCACACCUCAAACAACACCCCUCGUAAAGCCUGGGAUACUCGUAAAGAUUAUAACAGUACGGACACACCGUCCAAAACGUCGUUGUAGCCCCCCUUUGUCCCCUCAUGGCCCCACCACCACCACUUCCGCUAUUGCUCAAAUUACUCCUCCGGCCCGAAGCCCGGGCAGUGUGGGUGUAGAGCUAUUGACAUUGCUAGCAUUGUUACCAGCACCACUAGCAUUAUUAGCGGUAUUAUUUCCCUAGAGCUUCGCCGGACGGGCAAUUUCUGAUUGGAGAGAUCAUUCUUGUGUUGGCGCUGCUGCUGCCGCUGUUGUAAAUCUUUCUGCCUCUUCAUAGCAGCUAGAUCUAUCUUGGUAAAAAACGACAGCUCCUUAUCGUAGGCGGAUUUCUGGACGGGAUCGGACAGAACGUUCCAUGCAUCGGCAACGAGGCGGAAAGCGGAUUCGGCGAAUUCGAACUUGUUCUUGUCCGGGUGGAGAAGAAGAGCGAAACGACGGUACUGUUUCCUAACGAGGUCGGAGUCAUCGGUGCGGUUGGGGAGUUGGAGAAUCGAGUACCAGUCGUUGUGUUGGCCGAUACGCUUUUCGGAAGCUAGCAAGACUUGGGCUACGGCUAAGAUCUGCUCGGAGCCGUCGACUAAGGGCUCGGUUUCUUGAGCUAAGACGGCGAACUCUUUGCAGCCGGCAAAGUCGCGGUUGCGGAGAAGUUUCUCGGCGAUUCCUAGUAAGCGUUCGGCUUCAGCUCGGGUGGUGGUGGUGUGAUGUUCCAUUUUUUCUUGGGGAAAUUUUUUUCUUUUUUUCUGAGGUUGGAUUGCUUUAAAUUUUUUCGGAUUGUUUUGAGGUUUUUUUUCCCUCUGUCUCCUCGAGGACAGUCCGGAAAUGGAGCUUGGGAAGUUGGGACGGUUUCAGUGGGUGGGUUACAGUUACUGACUGGCUUUCACGGGUUUGGGCUGCAGUUGGCGGGUACAACUUACUAAUGCACAAAGUAUAACAAGUGUGUGUGGAUUGGAAAUUAUUUAAAAUAUUAUUGAAAAUAAUUACCGUAAGAAAUUUUGUGAUAUUAUGUAAUAUAUGAGAUAAAACAAAACUUGAUUGAAAAUUAUAAUUAUGAUGUAAAUAAAAUAAUAGUUGAGAUAUUUUUGUUGAGACGUGGCACACUUCUAUGAAUUAGAGGAAAAUGCACACCCUAUACGUGUGCAAAUUAAAAGAAAAAUUUAUUAAAAAAAAAGAACAGUUAUUAGAAUAAUUUUUUUUUUGUUGUUAGAUUAAAAAAAAAAGAAAUUUUUGGCAAUUAUUGCAUGUUUGUACUAUUUAACUUUUUAAUGAGAGAGUAAAUAAGGAAAAACUAAAAAAUGACAAAAAAAAAAGGUCCAUAUCAUACCCAUUUCUCUCCCUUCAUACAUAGUAAGAUGAGAUAUUUUAAGCACAAAAAUUACAAAGUCGGCAAUUAUUUAUUCGAUGGGUUCUAACUUUUAUGUGUUGUGUUAGGAAUCAAAUGCAUAUCAGGUGAAAAUUGAUAUUUAACCAUCCCAAAGGAUCAGCAUCAUCAUUUGGCCCUUGUGUCCCAAAUAAUGAGUUAGAGAGUACAAGUUUGUUCCAAGACAAUGUAUUUGGAUAAAGGACUACUUGGGAAAAAAUUUUAGACUAGUACUUUAGCAAUUUCUAGUUUUUAUUAUAUGGUAUUUGUGUGAUAAAAUGGUACUUAAAAAUAGGCAAUGAUUUUGGCACUCUUAAAAAACCUGUUAGCACUCCUUCCAUGCUAAAUUACAAUUUAAUAUAUGAAAAAGACUACCAAUACUUAUUUUUUAUUUUUAUUUUUUUGUGGCACAAAUAUUUGGAAGUAAUUGUAUGUUUCUUUUUACGUUUCUUUCUAAUUUGUAGUCGACUAAAGAUUUGAAUAUUUUAUAUGUAUCGCAAGAUAGAUUUUUGUCGGAUUCGGUGAUGAUUAUUUACAAGAGUGAUAGUUUAUCCUUUAAAUAUGAGGUUAUCUUUGUGAUAGUCGGAUGCAUCUGAAACUAAAUUAAAUUUUUUAGAUAGUGAUUGGUACACUUUGAGAGAAAAAAUGAUUUUUUGAUGUUUGUCCAAGCCACACAAGUGUCUGUUCAAUUAUGGCUCCAAAGUCAAAAAUUAAAACAGAGAGAAUUAUUAAUUCAAACAUAAUAGUCUUUCUUCUUCUUUUUUUUUUUUUUUUGGUGUGUGAUUUCCAGUAUAGGUAUUGGUACAUGACGUGUUAAUUUGCAGGCAUGAUCCAGAUCAAAACUGCGAUCUCGUAAUUCUCGCAGUUUGGGCUAAAAUCUUCUGAAUCAUUUAUGCGGAUCCGGUUUGGCCGAGCCUGCUUCCUUCUUUUGUGCUAUAUACGCACUCUUUCUAGUCCAAGCGCAAAACGAGUCGCAACAAAUCCAAGAGUUAACAACAUCCAAAUCAUUAGAGCCGAGUGGACAAAACGGUGAGUUUGGGUCGAAGUUUGAACGCCCAAAUGGGCAUCGGUGAAGAUUUUUAAUUCACUCUGAUUCCUGGGUCAAGUCACGAAUUACACUUCCAGAUGGAAGAUUCUUUUGUUUAGACUUCAAAAUGAUUUGUCAUGGAUGGAUGCUUGUAGGCUCUGAAAAAGCGUUGCGGAAGCAUACAUAAUUUGACACAUAUAAACGUUAUGGGAGAAAAGAAUUUCUUACUUUUAAUGCAAAUAUAGAGCACAUUCGAUUGAAACUAGCAUAAACUUUACUGUAAUUGCCUUUACAAUAACAAAGACUCUCACCAUUUUUAUUUUUUGGGGGGGGGGGGGGUUCAUUGGCGUAGGAAUAAGAGCUUUUUAGAGGUGGGCUAGUGGUUUCUAUGUGUAUAACGUACGGUUGGAAUUUCAAUAUUGGGCUCAAUGAGGAACAUUGCAGCAAGAUGAGCCCAGCUCUGAGUGGCCGAUCCUAAUUUUUGUAUCCCGUUGCUCUAUAGAGCAAUAGUUUGGUAACCCAGAAAUAGGGUAGGCAUGGUCGAGUAUUCGUCCCGUGCACCAUUUGCUGACUCGACCCGCACCUUGCGAGUCAGUCAUUUUUGACUCUUACCCAUCCCGUAUAUCAGUGGGUACCGAAUUAUCGAAUACUCACCGAGAUAGGGUCGGGUCAAUCGUACCCGUCCUGCCUCACUUAUCAUUUAAUUUUCUGUAAAAAAAUGAUUUAUACUAGUUUAAUUUUGUAUUUUACAUAUUCAUAUAAGAUUUAAUAAAUAUUUUGUUUCUCAAAAAAAGUCUCUCACUAAGAAACAAACAUGCGAAAAGAAUACAAGAAAAAUCUACAAAUGAUUUUUGUAAACAAACUAUAGUGUCUCAUAUUUGUAAUGCAAUUUGCUCAAUGAAAUUGUUUAUAUAGUUCUAAAAUUAUUAUUUUAUAGUAUGUGUAUAAAAAUAUUAAAAAAUAUGCCGGCCGUCGAGUACCUGCGAAUUUUUAAUUAUGUAACUUUAAUCCGCCCAGCAUUUAAACCAGUAUCCGACUCUCUUUGACACGAUCAAAUAAUAUGAAUCAGGUAUCCUAAUUUUCGAAUCAGAUCGGAUCGAAAAUGCGAGUUUUUUGGUUAGUGGGUAUUUUUGCUUUCCCCUACACAGAAAACGGGAAAAAAAUGUGGUUCCCCUUCCCAAAAAAAAAGAAGAGAAAAUACACUUUCGACCAUUGAAGUUUAGGCAGCUAACGAUUUGACCCCAAAAAUCUUAUCCAUGAAAGUUUUUAGCACCUGAACAUGGACCCUUUGAUUGAAUCUGCCACUUUGUAUAUCAUCUUUAGCAUUGAAGCCGUUACUAUCGAGAACACAAUUGGGUCUGUUUGAAUUGUGUUUUUCUAAAAAAAAUUUACCACAGUAUGUUUUAUGAUCUGAUAUAGGUGUGGUAAUUUUUAAUACGACAUGAAAACAUGAUAUGAAUCUAAUACGAAAUUAAUGGAUUUUGGUUGAGAUUUUACGGGUUCAGAUUAAAAUCGGGUCGAACCCAAAAAGAAAAUAGAUCGAAUUCAUAUCAUAUACGGGUUGACCCAAUAACCCGUUUAUGAAUUAAAAAGAAUUUAAUAAAUAUAAAAAUAUUUUAUCAACAAAACUAAGUUAUUCUUUUUUUUCCCAAAGGCAUUCAUCACUUAAUCCUAAAUAAAUUUGUUUAACUUGUAUGAAGUUGGAAUUAUUAUGUUUGGACAAAUAAUGCAUUACAUUAUCUUCUACUUUUAUAGUGUCUUAAUUUAUUUUAGAUCUGGUUUGGGAUAAAACACUUCUACAAUGUUUGAAUUUAUUUUAGAUCUGGUUUGAAAUUGCUUUAUCGAGAUUUUUAUUACUUCAUUAUAUUAUUAGUCUUUUGCGAAAUUGGUUCUAUUAGAAAUUACAGUGAUAAAUUAGUAAAUUGAAAUUCUGUUUUAGGUUAUAUCAGGUCAAUCUAAAAAUUUCAAGUUCAGGUCAACUCGAAAUUGACCCGCCAAUUCAAAAAUUUUAGGUUCAGGUCAGGUAUCUUGACCUAUUACGGAAUGGGGGGUCAUGUUCGAGUCAGCAGGUUUUUUGUUAUACUCGGGUCUCAAUCCGAUCCCCAGCCCAUUUCUGACCCUAUUGCCAGCCCUAAUAUGAUAUAUACAAGAUAAAAAAAAAAGUGAUUGCUAGACAUGUUUAUGAGAAAUUUCAGUAAUAUUCUCCAAGUAAUGCUCAAAUAUUAUGCAGGUAUUGUAGUUUUUUUUAAGUGUUGAAUUUUUAUUAAGAUUUAAAAUUAGAUAUUGGUCAUUCAAAGUGGUGAAAAAUGGAAAGUUAGGUGUCAACAGUUGUUAAGGAUAUUAGGAUUUCAAGUAUUACGACCAUUAUGGCUCAAGGGUGUCGGCUGCGAAGUAGCAUUUGUGGAAAUAUUUACUUCACGUUUGAUCGAUGUGCCGUAUAGUCGUGACAUUGUACUAAAAGCAAGGAUGCAAUGCAGAGUAUAUUUUCUUGUUUUUGGAUUGCAGAGGAAAAAUCUCAGGCAAACGCCAAAAUGGCAAGUGCAUGCAAUGUACACUAGAUCCCACUUUACCAAUUCAAUCCUUCACUUUUAAACGCAAUUGAAGACCUUUUUCUGUAUUUAUCUGAGUUGGAUCAAAAAUGAGAGAACAAGUAGUUUUCAUUCACCUUCUUUUCUUGCUUUCCUUUUUCCUUUAUAACAUUCGGAUCCAUAUGGAGCCUAACGGGGAAAGGGGAUGGACAAAUUAUCUCCAAAUUUUCAUCUUUAUGAAAAGUUCUUUGACCAUUGAACCUCUGUACCUUGUUUAUAACUAAUAAACUACACAGACGACGAAAUACCAAUUCCACAUGUAAACAGUAAAGUUCCUCAAUAUUCUGCUAAGAAUCGAAGCGAAAAGCGGGCAGGACUAAAAGAUGUAGUAUGAUCAACAUCUCUCUGUCUUUUGCCCUAUUUGCAUUAUUGUAUGGGCAAGAUGCCACUUUCUUUGAUCCGCUCAUGACCUAUCACUGGGUAAAAAGCACCCACAUGAAUGCGUACAAACAUAUGAUAAUAGUUUUACUCCUUUUUCUUUUUUCCUUCCUUUUUCACCUCUUUGGAGCUCGAAAAUGUUGUGAGAAAAUAUGAUUUGGACUAGUUUGGUUUGUACAAAAACUACGCAGAAACAAAGGACAAUUCAUCAACUGUGGAAUGGAAGUACGCAGUUGUAUUAUGGCGAUAACUACAACUCUAGUAAAUUGUCAAAGUUUUGACUUUUACGGAAAUGGCCUCAUGUUUGAUUCAAUUGAAGAGGAUUUUGAACUAAACAAAAAACGGGCUCAUCGUAAAAUUGCUAUAUAUAUAUAUAUAUAUAUAUAUAUAUAUAUAUAUAUAUAUAUAUAUAUAUAUAUAUAUAUAUAUAUAAGUAAAUUUUAUAUACAUUGACAAUGUAUAUACUAUCAUGGUUAGAUGCACGAUAUAUAUAUAAAAUUUAGAAUUCAAAUUCAAAUUUAGAUUAUGUGCCAUGAAUCUAAUGAUAAAAUUAUAUACAUUAUCAGUAUAUAAAAGAUUAUUCCUAUAUAUAUUUAUAUAUAUCUUUGUACCGACCAUUGUCACGUUGGUUGAUUCCGAACUGAAAGAUUCACAAAACAAAAUUGCUAUAUAUCUUUGUCCUAAUCAUUGUGACGUUGAUUCUGAACCGAAAGAUUCACAAAACACAUCAAUUCAAAGCAGUAAACACCGGAUGCUACCCUCCCGUAAUAUGUUAUUGCCUUUGCCAAGUGUAUGGAAGAACAUUUCACUUCUUCUUCUUCUUCUUUUUUUAAAAAAAAAAAAAAAAAAAUUUAAACUCAAACUUUAGAACAAGGAAUCUAGAUGUGCGAUCACCGAGUUCUGUUCACCUUUAUAGGACAUCGCAUGCAAACAAACAACCUUUGGACAAGAUUCUGACUUUCUUUCUUUAAUAAUAAUAGGUGGAACUGAACAAAGAAAGAAACAAUAAUAGAUUCUAGUAAUCCUCUAGAUCUCUCACACGUGUACACAUGAGAAUCAUACGCUUAUGCUUUUUCUAGCAUCUGCAUAGAAAAUAUCUAAGGGGGAAGAAGGUAGAUUGGAAGCAAAGGAAGGGUAAAGUCGAUGAUCACUAAAUUCCAGCCUCAGCAAUCUCAUCGAUCUUUUUACAUUGUGCGCCUUUCAACUUUGAUUGAUAGCAACCGACUAACUUUUCUAUACCUUGAGUCAGAAAGGACAGAAAGCCGACUUUACCUUGCACUUGCCUAAAAAUGGGAAAGCCUAGGGUAAAAAUCACAAAACCAUUUUGGAUCACAUUUGAUUAUAGAGUUAAUUUCAUGAACUUCUCCUGAAAUUUAUCUUAAUAUCACCUAGCACCGCUAAGGUUUCCGACAUCUCUUAUAGGUCGAUCUCUUAUAAUUAUGACAAUUUGUGUAACAUUAAUGUCACCCCUUAUGUGUAAAAGCAAUAGUAUUAAAAAAUGAAACGCAUUGAAGAAGAGAGAUUAUAUUAUCUUUUUACUUUUAUCCUUGUGUAAUUUGAUUUAUGAAUUUUGAAAUUUAGAAAAAAAAUAAAUAAAUAAGGUGGAACAUUAAACUGAGAGAACGCCUCUGCGUGCAAGGAUAACUUCUAAAGCUAGUUCAACAUUUUAAAAAGGACUGAAACUUUGAGAGUUUUUUUUUUUGCAACAAGAAGGAAACUAAGAGUAUAGAUAUUGUAGCAAAGAGACACAACAAAUGUUGUCCACAAAGAGGGAAAUUAAAGCAAAAAAUUCAAGAGAUCAUUUGUAGUAUGGAGGAAAUUAAGAGCAAAGAUUUUUUGCAACAAAGGGAGAGAAAAAUAUUUUAGAUGGCAUUCUUGCUAUUUAAUUAUGGAUAUUUUAGCUUGCAGGAAUUUUUUUUUUUCUUUUUCCAGCCUUUUGCUACUUAGAAGAUAGGAAAACGUUGGGGGCAUGAUUGUCAUUUCAAUGCUUCUAAUUGGGACUUUUAGUCACAUCAUAACUAACAGGGGGAGAUAUCUGAAUUUAACCCUCGAUUAUAAGUGAACCUUCAGCUUUCCAAAGGGCGUAGUCAGUUUGCGAGAGAUGGGUUUCAUGCACGACCCUUUGGCAUGCAUCAAGAACUCCUAGCUUAGAUCUAAAACAAAAGUGCCUUCUUCUUCACAAUACCAAAUUACCACUCAGUUUGGUUCCCGUUUUUCAUCUUUAACAGUGGCAGCUCUUUCCUUUUAACCUUCUAUUGUCUUUUUUUUUUUUUUUCCUUUUGGGGUAUCGUCAUCAUUCCCAAUCCAGACGCUUUUGUAGAAAUUAAUGAUAGAAUUACUUUCACGUGAGUUUGGACAAAAAGAAUCAUGCAUUAGUUUAAUGUUUAAAAUUGAAAUCCCACAUAUUGGGUCUUAAAUCCUACCCUUCUCUGCUAAAUAAAAUGAAGAAUCGUGGCUCUCUCGAUUAUCAAGCUUCAAGUUAUCAUUCAUCACUAAGAUUUCUUAUCUUUUUCUCUUCGUUUUGUUCAAUACCCUAAGAGAUCAUAAUUAGUUCAUAGUAGUACUUUUUUUUUUUUGUGUUCCUUUAAUUUUUGGAAUCAAUCCUUGGAACAGAAGCAGACUGGCAAUCGCGCCGCCCGUGCUAUGCAUGGAAAAUUUUGCAGCAGAGCAUUUGAAUCUCAGGCAAGAAAAGAAUUGAGAUUGCUAUAACUUAAUUCUACAGAUGCUGCAAAGAGAACGAUUAACAAAUGAUGCUAUAAUAAUGGGGGAUUGCAAAGGAAACAGCCUGCAGCGACUGUUUGUUUUACUAGUAAGAGGGUAGCUCCUGCAGGUUGGAUCUAAAUAGGAUUAUCAGUGGUUCCGUUUCGGAAUGUUUUUGUUUACUUGAGCAAAUUGUAGGCCUUUCCUUCAACCAUGUAAAUCACUGAAAACACAAUAUAAACUUCACAAUAUUUUAUAUAUGGACCCAGCACACUGUGCUAAAGGAAAAAGCGGUAAAGUACAUGAUCUGAACCUUGUAUAUAAAGUAAAUCUUAUGUAUAGAAUUCUGUUACGGCGGUGAAUUUUGUUAACUUUAACGAAUUCUGUUAGUUUAUAAUGUAGUUCAAAACAUGAGAUGUCGUUUUAUAUGUUUUGAAACCACGGAGGACUUUUCUGUGUAUUAGAUAUAUUACAGAGGGUUUUUUUGUUUCUUCCGAAAAAUGCUGCUGCUACGACCGUUUCUGUCCCUAAUUCAUCUAAAACAAAAGGAUCCUUUGAUUGUAAAUAGUUUAAGCACACGUCGUUUUUAAAGCGUGGUCGUACUCAUUUUAUAUUUGAAAUACAUAAUCUAAAGAAGCCUUUUAGUUCAUUUUUCUUUUGUCUUGGAUGAGAAAGCUGCACCACAUAUGCGUAAAAAUCGCACAAACAUCCCUCCUUUCUCUCAUAACGAGAAGUUACUCCGUAAUUAAAUGCCCUUGAUUUCGCUUCCUUCACCCAAUGAGAGUAUAGUGCUGCCUGCUGCGAUUGAUUAGCGGCAAGAUCAGUAGUCAAUAAUGGUAGCAUGCUCGAGUUUUUCCCCUCUUCCCCGGAAGAUGAAUCCUUUAGCAUAAUUAAUCAUCUGGAUGAUUUAGAACGUGCAAAAAAGCACCAUAAUAAAAUGAGCUUUUUGAGAGUUUUAUUAUAGAAAUAUAUAUUGUAGCAAUGUAAUGUAUGUGAAAUUAAAAAAAAAUGUGAUCGAAAAAUGUAUCAAGAGAAUUUUUUUUUUAUUAAAUUCUUUUAACAAGUGUCCCUGAUCACUCAAAAGUACAUUCAAAUUAUACCCAAUAAAUGGGUAGGGUCAUUAGCUUGUGAGGUUCGAGGUUCGACUCUCAAUCCCUCUCCUUUCCUCGUUCCCCUUCCAAAGGUUUGAAAUCUUGCUUCGAGCUAAAAAAAAUUAUGCGUAACUUACUAUGUAGAUACACACAUUUACAUUUAAUGCACCUCAUGUAUUUGGACAUUUUUCCAAAUUAAUUUCACUACUGUCAAAAAAUUAACACCUGAGACCCGAGUAGACUCUCUUGUAGUCCUGAGACACCUGUUAACCAAACCCUUGUUUAUUAAGCAAUACGGUUUUACAUGCGGAAUAUUAGUGUAUUAGAUGAUAACUUUGAAUGGUUGUAUUGCUUUUAGAAGCCUAAUCAUGGUACAAAUGGUAUAAGUUCUUAAAGAUCACGUUCUAACAUAUUUCAGCGAUGUACGUGCACUCUAAAGUGAUCUAGGAAGAUGGAGCUGCAUGGCCAAAAGGAAAAGCUAGAUGAGUAGUCUAUUUUUUUUUUUUUUUUUUUUUUGAGGUUUCAAGCAAAACCCGUUGUAUAAGGUUUCUGAGUAUUGCAAUAAUCAAUUGAAGUUUGAAAAAUUAGAGAAACCUCCCCAGACAAUAAGCUUUGGUAAUAGUUGAUGAUGUAAGCACAAAAAAAUCAACGAAUAUCCUAUAUUGCCUCUAUCUAAUUUUUAAAAUUUCACAGUAGUUAUUUGCUAGAAAAUUUGAUCCAUGUUUUAAAGACGCCGUCCAAACCAAACCGGAAAAUCGAAAAGCUGGGAAAUCCAGCGUACUAGGUACCUGACCCACAUGGAUAUCCUAUGGCCUAGGACGGGGGUAUCCUAUGGCCUAGGACGGUUACGAUUCGAUAUUUUGUUGAAUUGUUAGAACUAGGUUGGGUCACAAUAAUAUCAUUCCAUGGGUCUUGGUAACCGACCCAUGAACACCUCUUCUAUUAGCUGAUCAACUCUUUGUAAAAUUGAGCAAAAACUCGAUUCAGAGGAAUUGAAAAUUGAAUAUAAUGUACUAGAUCAUAUUACACUAUAACUUUUUGAUAAAAAGGUAUUAACGAGAAAAUGUUUCCUUUUUUAUCUUUAAAUUCAAUUUUUUUAUUUAGAAUUUGUAAAUUUUGUGAAAGCUAUUAUAGUAUUUUCAUAUAACACCAAAGAAGAUAAGUGUAAUUUUUUUCAAACUUUAAGGAAGGCGAACGCAAUUAUUAAAAACUUCAAAUUUAUCAUAAAUAACGUAAUUAUCCCUAUUAUCAUUUUGAAUCGGUAAAGAGAAUUGUAACAAAUUGUAAUUUAUCAUAAAUAACUCAUAAACUUGAGACAAUUUUUAGUAUUGCUCGUAAUCAAAUAAAUGUCAAUAUAUCAAUGAGUGUGUCUGGACAAGAGAUUAUUUAUUCAAAUAUAUUUAUUUACAUCAUCAUUACAAUUUUUAAUAUAUUUUUUUAUCUCACAUAUAUUACAAUACAAAAAGUGUUAUCUCAAAUAAUUUACUAUUCAAACACACUCAAAUGGACAAUUAAUCUGGACGUACAUUCUGAAGUCUUGAAUUUUUAACCAUACCACGACCUUCCAUCAUUUGAGACGGCCGUCAACUGUUGCAGCCUUGACUUACACGACGAGUUAUCACCAGUCACCACCAUACAAAAUCCGUGGAUAUGAGGUGCUGAUAUGCACAUUGUCCUGGCCAUAAUAGCCCUAGGUGAGAGGUGCGACUCAAGUGGCAAAAUUGUAGGCCCAUAUUUGAUUUUAUCAAAAGCUAGAGUAUCCUCAAUUCCCUCGAAUAGGGAUUUUGUGGGAUGGCCAUGAAUUGGCCAAAAAAAAAAAAAAUUUAAGAUUUAGAUCACAACUUGUGCAUUGAUUUUAAUAUCGUGUGUGUGUGUAAGAUUCACAAAAUUUUGUUCUAUAAUUACUAAUAGUUAAAAAUGAAUUAAAUCAUGAACAAAUAAAAUUACAUCUUGUAAAAUUGAAACAAAACUUGUCCAAACAAUUUGUCUGGCAACCAUUUGGACCCUUGGUCCUUAACUUCUUCAGGUGCUGAGGAGCAGAGUGAACUGUUCCUUCGCCCAUUACUGAAGAAUAUGGUGUGCUCGACAGAACAAGCUGCAUACGCCUAUUUUUGAAGGGUGCUUUUACUCAAAACCCUCUACAAAAAGAAAAGGAAAAAAAAUAGUGAUCAAAGUUAAUUUGAAAUUACAAUUUUUUUUUAAUAAAGAAGUGAUCACACCUAACUUGAGACAUCGAAGGUAAAUUUAAAGACUCUGACUCUCAUCCAGCUGCAGUCGAGCUAUCGAGGAACAUAACGGCUGAUCAAUCUUUGUUAUGGAACAUAACUGCUAAUACUACGUACAACUUUAGACCGAUCGAUAUCUCAAUCCCAAGUGCAAAUUGGUUGUGGCAAUGGAUAAUGGUCCAAAAGGGGAGCAUCACUCAGAGAAGUCCAUAUCGGUUAGAAGAAGAUACUCUCAAUAGCCAAUGCACCUCAAGUUGGAGCUCCCAUUGGCAUGAUCUGCAAAUCGACCCUCAAUUUGGAUAGUUGUGUGCAGCUCAAGGCAGGACCAUGUAAUAAUUAACUUCAAACUAUAGAGAAUGAAGACAAGUUAAAGCAAAGAUUUUCUCUUGACAGUGGUCGAAUGAAAAAGGUUCCCGUGUUUGUUUAUGCUCCUGCCGUUGAGUUAAUCAAGUUUAACAAAUUGAUCAGCGAGAAAUAUAUAUAUAUAUAUAUAUAUAUAUAUAUGAUGUUGCUGCCUAUUUUUUCUUCACAAAAUAUUUGAGGAAAAGAAACAUAUAUAAUCUGUAAUUUGAUGUUCUUUUAUGAUAGAGCCAGCGUUGCUAAUGGUUCAAAAGAAUGCUCAAUAGAUAGAGGAGUUGAGAAACAAUUACCAGUGCCCGAAUUGAAGUACAAAGAUCCAAAUGAAGUGUACAUUAUAAAUGUAUCGUUGUAUAUUUGUGUGUGUAAAGUCUACAUCCCAUACACUGCUGCAUGCAUCGCUGUGAAAGUAGCAAGAAAAUUUGGUCCCGCUACUCCUAUUUGGAGUUGAAUUUGAAUAAAACCGGGUCGUCGAUUGGAAGAUUAUUCUUCUGUUCUGUACCUUCGCUUUCAAUGGAACAACCUGGACUGAUAAUCGACAUUUUCUGCUUUAUGGGCUCUUAUUAUUAUUGUUAUUUUUUUAAUUUAAAGGGCUCUAUACAAAUGCAAGCUUGCAAGAAUAAUUGAUGUGCUUCUUGAAAGAAGACUCAAAAGAAGUCAUAAAUAGAGAGUGACGAGAUUCCUGCAGAAAUUGGGCUUUUGUUUCAAUUGUGUACAAAACAUCCUCGUAGCUUAUCUCAAAAGGCUAUGUGAAGUUUUAUAUGAUUAGAGUACCUAGUGAUUAAUUUCACAGUAUUACAUAGAAUGAGUCCCUGACACAAAAGAGAAUUCUCUUUUGUGAUGAAAAACCAGAUCAAGUUAAUGCUGCUAUUGCCAUAACGUCAAGUACUCAGGUGUAUAGUUCAAUUGCAUAGACUAUGCUAAUUGCUUGCUGGAGCCAAAUGUCGUGACACAUCAAAGGGUUAAGUAUACUCGUCCUGUUAAGUAAAUAUAGCUCCAUGGACGUUGCAUAAUUGGUAAAACCUCCAGAGUCAUGAUCAGAUGCAGUUAAUACAUAUGGUUUAGCCCUCAAACUUUAAAAAAAAAAAUAAAAAAUCACUGCCAACUUCGUUUUCCAGUUUGGGGCAAGGGAAGGAAGUAAUUGUUAUUAACGCAUGUGUUUGGAUUUUUCAUUCGAAGCCUUCAAGAUUAUAGACUCUUUUUCGUGCUUGAUAAGCUUAAAUCUUGGUAUUCUAAUUUAACACAAUUUCAAGCUAUUAAUGUUAUAAAUACAAUCUAGUGGAAGGCAUUAUCGAAAACAAAUUUGGGAAUUUUAGCUAAACACUUGCUUGGAAAUAUAGAUAAAUUAAAGUGCAGUUUGUCAACAUUGUGGUGGACAAUUUAGUCAAAUAUCAACAUUAAGUCACUAACACAAUAAAUGAGUCACCAUACAAAAUAGAAAUGUAUAAAAACACAACAAAUUUUGCUACUUGCCAAAAGUGGUGUCAACGGAAGGUUAAACACUCGGUAGGAAAUAGAUAAAUUAAGGGAUACUUUUAAAAACCUCUCUUAAGGUUUCUGACAAUUUCACUUGAUUCUUCUCGAGUUUAAAUAAUUACACUUAUGUUUCAUGGUAUAGUAAAGUACCUAGAAAACGUUCCAAUUUCUCUAUCUCAUGUCUAUUUCUACUCCUCUAUUUCCUAGUUAUUAUACUCUUAUUUGUUAUCUUUGAUUUUAUGGAUAUUAGUAAAUUGAAAUUGCAAAAUCAACAGAGGGAACAGAUCAUGUGUUAAGUACAUAUGCUAUAAAUUUCCCAAAAGAGAAACAUUAGGAGAUUCUAGAUUAUCCAUUCCUUUGUACCUCUAUACUCUACUCAUUUCAGGCGAGAUAAAGAAGCAAUACAAAUGUAGAUCAUUUUCAACAUAAGUUGACUCAAUUAAUAUAUAAGAAUGAAACAUAUUUUUACAAAAAUGAAAUAUUAUUGAAACUUAUAUGUGACCCUUGGAUGGAUAGGCAAUUUCCUACAAGUGACCUUUACUUCUGAAACAUAUGUCCUAACCGGUGAUGUUCGGAUCGCGAAGCACCUACCUUUUUCCUACCCAAAAAAUGUGGAUCAUGAUCGUGCAAAUUGGUGAAAAGACUUUUAGGUUUGUUGAUUAUGGUGAGAAAGUGUACGAAGAGGUAAUAAUGGCCAUCCAUGAUAGUGAUGCAGCGCGGUCUAUCUGUACGGACAUCUCAUCGUCCACAUAAUAUGAAAGAAAAAAAAAAAAAAAGAAAAGCCACACCCACCACAGGCGAGGCACAGCUCCCCGUCGUCAUUAUUUCUGUAUAAACAAAAAAAGAAAAAGAAAAAGAAAAUUGUAUUCUAGUUGAACAGGAAUAUUUCUUCAUUAAACUAAAACUCACGUUCUCCUUCAGAACCAAACUUAGGAUAUCCACAGAAAAAGAAAACAAAAGAAGACACACAUUCUCCAGUCUCUCUCUCUCUCGCACACACACACAAAUAGUCUACAUUUAGGCCGCUCAGAUUUUUUUCCUCUCCUCUUAGGUUUAGGCAAAUGUGGAAAACUGAGGAUAAAAGAAGCGAUUGGUUUUGCUAUAAAAGGGAAAGUGGACUUUCCUUUCUUGACAUGGGGCUUCUGUUCCCAAUUCUUCCCUCCCUCUCUCUAAUUGGUGGCUUCUUUUGAUAUUUUCGAUUCCAUAUAGGAUAUAUUUUUUUCUUGUUUGGAAGCUGGUGUUGUGUGUGAGGAGUUGAGCUCAACAGUGGUGUUAAGCUAAGAGUACAACUGUUUCUUACUCAGCGCACGAAACAAAGAACAUCUCCUGCAGCUCCUCACCCUCUCACUCCAGUACCCAAUAAGGUAAACAGUACCGAUCCCCCCAACCCCCUCAAUAUCCUUGCACACCCCAUCUCCCACUCCCCAGCUUGCAUGUUAAUGAACAUCAAUUGGUGGGCUUUUCUGGGUUUUUUCGCUCAGAUCUGUACUUGUAUUCUUUCUUUAGGGUUGCUUUUUGCUCACUUAAUCCUCCUCCUGAUUUCCUUGGAAAAAAAUUGCACCUGCCGGCGACCACACCGACCUUUUUGCGCCUCUUUCCUGUGCCCGUUUCUAUUUAAUACUCUCUUUUCCCAUUGCUGCAUAAAAUUAUUUGCCAAACCCACUGCUCGUGGUACCACACUACUAUUGCAACAUCUUUGAUGUUCUUUUCCCUCUGGGUGUAAUUAUCAAGGCGAUCGAAAAGAAAAAAUGGCGAGAGAGAAGAUCAAAAUCAAGAAAAUCGAUAACAUCACGGCGAGGCAGGUGACCUUCUCCAAGAGGAGACGAGGGCUUUUCAAGAAAGCUGAAGAGCUUGCUGUUUUGUGCGAUGCUGAUGUUGCCCUCAUAAUCUUCUCAGCCACUGGCAAGCUCUUCGAGUUCGCUAGCUCAAGGUAAAUCUAACCCUACCCUAUAUAUAAUCAUAUGGUAUACUAGUAACUUUUUAAUGCAAAGAUGAGAGCUGGGGUGGCUUCAUUAUCAUGUUCAUAUAUAUACACACACACACACACAAACAGAGACAGUAUUAGAUGUGUCUCAUUCUCCAUCUCUCUACCCUCUUUCCUUCCGUCUCUCUUUCUAGAUAUAGGCAGGGUCUGAGAAGAUGAUGUCAGCAACAUUUUGUUGGGAAGAUCGGCUCUUCUUAAUUCAGGUGACUAGACGAUAGGGAAUCAAGACUGUGACCACUGACAUGAGAAGUGUUUAGCUCAGCUCCAAAUAUAUUUUGACCCAAAACCAAACAACAGAAAGUAAUUUACAAUAAAGUUCUGGUCUCCUUCGUUACCCCUUACCCGUACUCCUUUUAUCUUAAGUUUAAAUAUUUACCGAUAGUAGUAACAUUUAAGAAUUGCUAAAAUUAGAAACCCUAGUAAAGAUUCUUUUCAAUCUUCAAAGUUUUCUUUACUUUACUUGAACCCCACAACUUCUUUUUUUUGGCUUCUUUUUACUCAGUUUCUUAUCGACCCAGCUCUCGGUUUUCCGUUCAGUAAGUUAUACUCCUCCUAACUUACUUGAUCACAGUAAAUAGGUCUCACUUGUUCAAUGGAUUUCACAUUUUCUUUCCAGAAUGUCUCUCCGAUUUUAAAGGGUACUAGACUAUUUCAUCACACUAGUAAAUCGCUCUCACUUGGGUUCGCAGUUUCUUUCCAAAAUUUUCACCAGCUCCCACGUUCAGAAGUAGCUUAAUUAUUAUUUGAUCAUAGCAGGAAACUCUUCUCCAUCUUGUAUAUCAAUCUGAAACGGUACAAUUCCAUGGACCAUUCUUUUUGAUUGACUUGCUAGAAAGGAGCAUUUGAGCUGCACAAUUCCAUUAGUCUCUUCACGAAAUGGAUGGCCGAAUCUCAAAAUGUUCAGUUUAAUUUUCUCCAGGAUGUUUACUUGCAUCAGAAAUUAAGCGGUGUAGAUUUCAUGUUUUCAAAUUCUUGAUUUUUAAUUUCACUCAUAGCAUUAGCGUUUGAGAGAUGCUAAAGGGAAGAAUAUGGAGUAGUGAAACUUCCUUUUCAUGCAAUUAGAAGCUGCUAAGUUAUGAUCAUAGAAUAACGAUUAAUUUGAAAGUCUAUCUUAACUGAGUUAACUGGUUCCUAAUUAAUGGUUCUAAAAUAAAGAAACGAACCAGUCAUUAAGAUCACCAACUGGUUUAAUUGGUUCGUAAUUAAUGGUCAUAAAAUAAAGAAACGAAGCAGUCAUUUGAGAUCACCGGUCAAAUCAAUCUUAUCAUUUUCUUCACCGAUUAACCUGCCAAAACUUUGUAUUAAUUGGAUGAUACCAAAUAAAUCUAAAAAUCGAUUAUACACUUUUGUAAGUGUAAACUAUAUACACUGCGCGAUCUUUAGUUGCACGGUGUAUGUUAUUCGUUGGGACAAUAAAACAGUAAAAAUGAAAACCUUUUUGUAAAAGAAAAACUUCAUAUUAAGAUACUUAAAAUUCUGCCUGGUAAUAUAGAUGCCAACGGUUGUCUUACUUCUUUUAAACAUCUAAUAUACUGUGGCAUGAUCUUGUGUUUAGCUCACUCCGAAGGAUGUCAGAACAAAUCAUUGUAGCUAGAUUUCAGCAAUGAAAGUGUUUUCCUGUCAUGUUUCAGUGGCUGCAUGUGAACUAUCUUUUAAGGUGUAGCUAUUAGAAAUUAAUGUUUGCUCACAAAAUCAUCUUUCAUCCUCAUGUGCAGCCACUGAUUAACUUAGCAUCAUUUUGGUUCAACUUCCUAUAUAGUACCUUGUCUUGCAGCUUAUUCAAAAGUUGCUUGCAUUAAAAAAAUUCGCUUGCCAUAUCGCUAAAAUAUGUCUCAGUUGGUAGUUUCGUUGGAUCAUUGCAUAAAAUGGCUCCACGCUAACAGACAACCACAAGAAAAUACUAAAAAUGGUCACUUGGACCAAAUUCUGUCUAGUUUCUAGGAGCCUGUAUCCAGUCCACUUUGGAUUCUUUCUUACAUGAGUUCCCUUUUUUGUGGUUUGUCUACUAUCUAAAUUCAAACGCAUAUUUUGCAAUACCUGGAUAAGGCAUGCAUAUGUCUGUUUUGUGGGGUCUAACCAGUAGAUUCGUGAUAAAGAGGUAAGAGAAAUUCCAUUGUAUUUCCCUAGUCUCUGAUAUGAUAUCAAAACUUCACUCAGGUGUGCCUCUUGUCAGUUUUUGUACUUGCUUCGGUCAUAUGUGUAAGUUCUGGAUACAGGAAGGAAUUUCUGUAAGAUUAAUAGUAUUCGUAAAAAGAUUUCUAGUCUAGGUCUGAUAAUGGGCGAGUCAUGGCUUCUAGGUUUGAGUAUACUUGACCGCAUUUUUGUGUACUCUUCUGGCCUUUCCUUAAAAAGAUUUCACAUAUGCUUGUGCACAAGGCUGGAAAUCACCAUUUGAAUUUCUCUUCUCUCCUUUAUGCUUUAAUCAGUGGUAGGAUUUAUUUUUGGUUGGGCUGAUAACUCAAUGGUUGACUGCAUAGUCCAUGAUAUGACAGGUUUUGCAAUUAGACUUGAGAUGGCAAAAAAUAAAAACUCAAACAAGCAUUUUUACUAGCCAAAGAUAAAAAGAUUAAAUUCACUUUGAAGAAAUAUAACUCAAGGUCACCUACUUUUAAUUAGCUAAUGUAAUUAUAUUGUAACCUAUCAAUGACAAGGUGAAUUUUCUGUACUUGUAAUUUUGUUUUUCUUUAAACAGAUCUUUACAUGUAUUUCAUUUUAUAUCAUACUUCUGAUAAUGUUUAUCUCUCGGUGUAAUGAACAUGUUUUGUGUUUCUUUCUGACAAAACUGAAAAAAGAAAGAAAAAUUACAGUUGGAAAUGAUUGCAUGUUGUAGAAUGGAUGAAAGAGAUCUACAGUCAACUAAAUGUUAGGAAGAGGAAUGUGCUAUGGAACACUUGCAUGGUUGAUGUCAUAAAACUACCGGUUCAAGUAAUGAUAACAUAACUUUCCUUCUAUUUGCACUGAUUUUUUUUUAACCAUAAAUUUCUAAUCAUAAAUGCCUCAGCAGCAUGUUGCAUCCCCGAGGCUUGCAUUUUUUGGGAUCCUUGAGCUUCUUGCUUAAAUACUUCUUACUCUAUAUUAGUCUCUCCAGAUCUUGAAUGGACCUGUGAAUUUGGUGGAAUGGUUUAGGUUGUAGCUUGUAUUUGCUUAAUACAUACUUAUAUAUUAGACAUCCCAGUCCAGAGGUUUGAAGCUUCGACUUUCUUUGAAAAGGCGUUGGAUCAUGGUGAACAGCUAACUACGCUAUCGAUUACGUAAAUGUUUUGAGUUUGAAUAUCUUUCCAAUCUCAUAGAAUCUCUCUUCUACUCAAUUAAUUGAGAAAUAUUGUAAAAGGUGUCUCACACGUUCUCGUGAGGCAAAUCGAGUCUUUUGAUUUACUUUAAUGCUAAUGGCCAACCUUUGCAAAUAACUGAUAGUUGUGCUGACUUUCUAUUCAUUGUCAUGCUUGUUAUAUGAUAACUAUGGCUUUGUGAUAUGUAGGGCACUGUAUUUUUGUCCUGUCAUCAUGAAUUAUAAACUAACAGGUCAACUAAGUAACUGUUUUGAUAAAAUUGAAAUCUGAAUUGUGAAAAUUAAAUAUUGACCCCUUUUGACAAGUGAGUUUUUUGAAUAUUUGUCUAAAACUUUACUAUAAUUUACUGUAAAAGUUUUUUAAAAAAUUUUGAAAGUGUGUAAAUUUUGAAUAUUUUAAAGUGUAUAGUUUAAAAUUUUUGAAAUUUUUUUUGAAAUUUGUAGUUAAACUUGGGAAAAAGUUGCCUGCCAAACAAGGCCAUUAAAAGUAUUGAGUUGCUAAAUUAUUUAAGUUGUAUCGUUUGAUAAUUAACUUUAUAAAACUGAAUUCAAAUAUCACAAAUAUUUUUUGACAAUUUUAAAAAUUGCCCUUAUUUGUAUAUUUGGAAAAAAAGAAAAAUGUGCGUAUGUGUGUGAGAGAAAAAAUAAUGAAGUAAUUUAGAGGUGGUAUUUAAGUAUGUGCAUUUGCAUGUAAGAGGUGUGUCUGCAUGCUUGUGUAUCUGUGUGUGUUGAAUAUAAAGGAAAUAAAUGUGUACCAAGUGCUAGAAUACUAUGAGUGUGUUAUGUGUGUGAGUGGCAUAGUAUGUGUAGUCAAUUCAGAAGAUUUAGUGAAAUUUUGUUACUUAAAAUUUUAUACCCAAAUUAAGGUGUGCUUAAUAAAUUAAGUGGUAAGGUAUUUCUGUUAUCAAACAUGCUGAAUUCAAAACUCUGAAUGAAUUAAUUUUCAACAUUAAGUGGAAUUAUCAAACAGACUAAUAGAACUUAAAACUGAACAGAUUAUUGCAUUUUUAUAUUCUAGGGAAUCUAUUUUAAAUAUUGUAUAGUAAAAACUAUAAAAUUAGGAUUUAGAAAUUAGAGGUCCUAGGUUCAAAUCCUAUCGAAUUGUCAAUCUCUCCUGAUUUUAAGUUAGUAUAUGUCCUACUAAAUGUGAGGAUUAGUUGUAAUAUCAUGUAUUGGCUCCAAAGUCGUGAGUUACAUGUAAUUUUAUUAAAAACAAAUGCUCUUUUCCUUUUCAUCAAUCAAAUAUAACUUGAGAUAAUAAGCAUAGCAAUUUGUUAAUCACAGUUGUAAUCUAUAGCAGAAACUUGAGGUGUUUUCAAAAAUAGAGGUAAUGUUAUCUUCAAUCAAAUUCUUUUGUAAAUAUCUAAUGCCUAUAUUACUUUUGGUGUAAUAAGUUGUGUACUAAAAUAGGAUUUUGGAAAAUGAAUUAUAAUAUGUUAACUCAAAGUAAAUUUACUUCACUUUCCUUCAUAUGUAAAAGUAAAGGAACUCUUAUUAAAAUAAAAAUGUCAAAUGCUCUCCAUAACAAAAAUUGUCUUUUAGCUGUUUGUAUUUUCUACUUUUACUUGGGCUUUAAAAUUUGUGGUGGAUGAGUUUAGUAUGGGAACAUGGUAUCAUCUGACCAUGAGUGGCUCUUUUCACGAUCCUUACCUUUUAAAUGCUUUACAGAGAAGGAUUUUAUUUUUAUUUCUCUUUUUUUGUGGUAAUGUUUCUUCAAAGUAGCGUCGGUUGAAGUUCUCUGACAUAUUGUGAUGAGAGAACAUCACAAGUAACUCAAGUCUCCUGCAUUUUUGUGCAGCAUGAGUGAUAUCCUUGGAAAGUACAAGUUACAUUCAAGUAACCUCGAGAAGAUUGAGCAACCAUCGCUUGAGCUUCAGGUAUUACAACAUGGCGUUGCAUCUGUGUUAUCUUUCUUCUAGAGAUCCAGUCAACAUCACGGGCUUUAUCUUGUUAACGCUUUUCAUGGUUUCCUCUAUACUCUUGGCUGUACUGAUCUCAUUACCAACAUUGCCCAACUGAUGAUUGGCAAAACUGUUGUUUCAUCCUUGAAUACAUUGGAAUAUGUCUCAUUUGUUCUGACCUUGCAUUUCAUCUAAAGAUUUCGAGAAGGAUAUUACCAAGUGCAUUGGAAAUUUUGAAUAAUAAGUGGUCCUGUUUUCGGUAUGUAGAGGAAUAUUUUACGAUUUCUCUUUGGUUGUAAAGUGACUAGGUGAACUUUGUUUCGUCUAGGGUGCUCGCGAAAUGACAAGAUGAAAUUUGACUAAAUAUUUUUGAGUCGAAAAUAUCGACUCUCUUUAAUACCUACUUUUAAGAUUCUUUUUAACAAGCUUGUUGAUUUUGAUAUGCUGUGAAUGGGUGCUGCUUUCUUCAAUCGAUGCAUUAUUCGGUUUUACUUUGCCACACGAUUACAUUAAACAAAGUCUAAUCUGAUUUGGAUGUUUCAUUGCACUACGAGAUUAGCUUAUGCUCAAUUGGGACAAAUGAAAAUGUACUAAACUUAAAUUGUUGUAAAGCAAGAUGAACCAUUGGGGCUGUCGGUGAAAUGUUGAAGAUGACUGAUGUGUAUUGUCCCUAAUGAAGUUUCUUCCUUUAGCCUCCUUCCCUUCUCUACGCUAGGAUUUGUUAGUACUCAGCCUUAUGCAUGCAUCUGCUGAUUAGGGUCAAGCAAAUUUAUCAUCAUUCCAUACUCCUCUUCUUUCUCUCCCUCCGUCUGUUUUUCUCAUGGCUAGCUUUUCUCCUCAUAUAUGUCUGUUAAAUGUAUUUUGCUACUUUACGCCAAAACCAAAGUAAGCCAUUCAUCUUUUUCUAGUUGUUCCAAGAAGUGCAAGUGCAAGUUUCAUCGAGUAUUUCCAUUAAUUGCUGUGUAUGCAUAGUGAUCCUAAUUUUUCUUGCUCAUUUUAGCUAGAGAAUAGUUGCCAUGUUAGAUUGAGCAAGGAAGUUGCUGACAGGACUCAUCAGCUAAGGUACAAAAUAGAAACAGAAAAUAAAUACUGUUUUCCAUAAUGGAUUUUUAGUUUUAUUUGAAUCUUAGCAAGAUGAAAUCAUUUGAUCCUGUGGAUCAGGCAAAUGAAGGGUGAGGACCUUCAAGGGUUAAAGAUAGAGGAGCUGCAGCAGUUAGAAAAAGUGCUGGAAGCAGGACUAACCCGUGUGCUUCAAACGAAGGUUCCCAGUUCACUUUCACUAGCUUUCAUCUAAAAUUUAGGAGGGUCGCAAAUUUACUAACCUAACUUCUUCAUGUUAUCUUAAUUCUAGGGUGAACGCAUCAUGAAUGAGAUCAAUGCCCUUCAAAAGAAGGUUAGAGUUGCAGACACAAACUUUUUCCUAUUAAUGCAUUUCAGUAAUUCUUUCUUUUGACAACUCUGGUCAGUAGUAAUAGGCCUCUAUAGUCAACAUUUAUAAGCAUCAGUUCCUAUACUAAGCUUAUAAGUCGCCUUUUAUCUUCUGGCAGGGUGCAGAACUGUUUGAAGAAAAUAAGCAACUGAAGCAAAAAGUACGAUCUUCUACUUAAGUAUAAAUAAGUUUUCGCUGACAGGUUAUAUUAACAUUGUAGCUGAAACUUUUGGCCACACAGAUGGCAAUGCUUUAUGAAGGGAAGAGGCCAGUGAUUCCAGACUUGGAUAAAGAUAUGCUGAUAGAAGAAGGCCAAUCUUCAGAGUCCAUUACCAAUGUUUGCAGCUGCAACAGUGGCCCUCCUCCGGAGGAUGACUGCUCAGAUACAUCACUCAAACUAGGGUAAGUGUCUUUGUACUGCCGGUGCUUCCAUGCUUGUCAGUGGACUAAUCUCUAACUUCCUCCAUAAACACAUCUACUGUUUUAUAAACAAUUGCAAGUUUAGCCCUGGUUAUUGAGAAUUGAACAAUUCGCCAAUCUGCCUCUUAAAUGCGCUGGUGAGGUUAAUUCUCUGUGCUUGAGACAAUUCUAAAGUUGGAUAGCUUUGUACAGUGAGGAUUAACUUCAUCUUUGCUAGUGAUGAAUGUUUCUAGAGGAAUGUUUAGCUAAAGUACUUCUUGAGACGUGCAAUUUAACUGCAAAUUUUCUAGCACUAGAAUAAAUGAAAGUAAUAGUUGAAUAAGUCUAGAAAUUCGAAGUAGUUUCAAAUUUAUUGUCUUUUUGACUAGCUCAAGUAUGUUGAGGUUUGUUAGGAAAAGAUUCAUGUAGAAUUGUUUCUUGCACUCUUUCUCUCUGUCAAAAGAGAGCUGUUUAAUGAGAAAUCUGAGGUGUUUUUCAGCCUUCAAUACCAAGUCUUGAUAUCCAUUUUUAUGCUCUAUUUUCCAACAGUACUCUACAGACCAAUACCUUCUGAGGUUCUUCGUGAGAUCUUUCUCUGACUAUAGUAUAUUCACCUAUAUACAUUGGCAUUAUCCUGAGUACUUUCUCCACGUUCUUGUUACCGUUCUCUAUUACUUGUAAUACACUCUUUUUUUUCCCUUUCAGGCUACCCUUUAACUAGCCGACGGUGGACAGCUUAUGGGGACCUACCUUUAAAAAUUACUAGUAACAUGGGAUCAAGAAAUGGAGCUCUCUCCAUCUAUAUGUCUAUAUGUUAUCCAAGAUAGUGGUAAAAGUCUAUGGUAGUAUUACUCCUGUCAUAAAAUUAAGAGUCUGCUGUGUAUGGCUGGCUCGAUUGCCUCCAAAGUCCUAAGGUGCAGUAAAAAAGCUCGUGUUGCUUGCACCUGCUUCAACCAGAACUCAAGAUUUGUACUCUCUUGUAUGAACUUGCUUCCGGGCUUCAGCUGAAAAGUUAAUCCUAAUAAUAUGAAAUACUACUGGUUGAACUAUUUAUCUAGAGAUGGCAUGAAACAACUACUAUAGUGAAAGGUAUAUUUCCUAGCUUGCCCGGAUUCCACCGAACAAGUAAUUACGCUAGUCUUUUAAAGACUUUGUUUGUCGAUUACCAAGUACAAGCGAGGAUGAAGAAAUGAAACUCGAAAUUAUAUGAGAUGGUUUUGGGCACGAAUAUCUAGAAAUAAGGAUUUCUAUUCGGUUCAAAUUGAUUGAUAUAUUCUUUUCUACUUUUAGUAUAAUUUCAAAACUUUUAAUUCAUAUAACAAAAUUGGUGUAAAAUUUACGAUUAUACAAAAACUCUACGAGUUUGUAGCAAAGGUAACAAGAAUUAUACGAAUCAAUGUAGGUUGGAUAUGACUUUAACUUGUAAGACACUUGGAUCCUAAAUAUCCACCUCAUUGGAUAUGACCAGAAGACGAAUGAAAUUCAAAGCGCUCAAAAUGGUCAAAAUUCCAUAAGCCAAGAGAACUAUAAAUGCAAAAAAUUAUCUAUUAAUAUACUUGUUCCAUAAAGUAUGAAUUAUGUGUUUUUGGACUGCCAAUCAUUGUUAGUAUAAUAUAGAACGGGUAUAAUAUAAACUAUAAUAGUACAUAUUUAUAUUAUACAGAUUUUUCUUCAAAUGUAUGAUUAGAAGUUUGGCACAAAAACACGAGUUCAGCAAAAACUCAGACAUGAAUAGUACGAAUAUAUUUGAAAUUUAUGAAGCUAAAAUAAUUUGUUUGGAUAGAGCAUUAUUCCAAAUAAUUAUUUGCAAUAAUUACUGCAACACUUUUUGUGAUGUGAUGUAUGUGAGAUAAAAAUGUGGUUGAGAAUAUAAAAAAGUAAAUUGAAAAAUGUGUUUGUAAUACAAGCGAAAUUUUUUUUUGGAAAAAUUUGCUAUAUAAACAUAUAAUUUUUAAAUAUUAUGGUACAUAUACCACUUUUUAACUCUUACUCUUGUAUAUUAGCCACUGAAUUUAUUAAGAUUUUACCACCCCAUCAUGUGUGCGUGUAUAAAUAUAUAGAAAAUAAUGACGUACAUAGAUGUCAUUCUACAUAUAACAUAACUGAGUAAUAAUGAUAUACACAAAUUUAAAACUUUUCCAAAUAUUUGAAGUAUAAUAUGCCAAAAGUUUAUUACGUGUUUUGUGAGGUUAUAUGAAAAGUAUAACUAUUUCUAAGCCAUACAAAUUUUUUUUUCUGAAUUAUACGUACUAACGUAUAGUAUAUCAACAGUAUCAGUACUCACUAGGAACAUGAAGAUGUCGAAAUUUGCUGUGGAAAUCAAGCGUCACAAUAAUCACUUUUGGGUCCACAUGGAAUUACUCCUUACUAUAGGGGCUAAAGCAAUACUAAGGAAACUUUUUGGGGGUUACAAAUGGCAAUGUCCCAUGUUAUGUCAGUCUUUACCAUAAAUAGGCAGAGCUUUUCCCACCCAACUACAAGACGACGCUACCAUUCUGCUUUACUUUUGUAUCAGUCUUUGGGGAGUGGGAAUCCAGUGGGCCGGUGUUACCUUUUCAGGAAUCUCUUGAUGCUAGGGAUGACAACGAGGAUUUUUAGGGGGGAUCCCUCCCCGUCCCCAACCCGUUGCCAAAAACUCCCCCUCCUCCCGUUUUCAUUCCCCCACCCUCUGCCUUGCCUCGCUUUUCCUGCGAAUGUCCACGGAUGAUAAUUUGGUUUUUUUUUUUCUAACAGCUUGUAUUCAAUAGAUCAAAACUAAAUUCAAAGAAUAAAAUAAAAUAUGAAACUGAAAAAAGUGAAAAAUUAAAAGUGAAACAAAAAAAGUGUUGAAAUAAAACACCAAGAAAAUUAAAAACUCAAUUGGAUUGUAUAGAUAACAUUUGGGAAUACUUAUAGAAUACGUAAUAUGUUUGUGCUAAAUAUCAAUUAGGAAUUUGGAUAGAAAUGAAAUAAAGAUUAUAUUUAGUUGUCAAAUAUUUUAAAUUUAUUAUUAUUAGAUUAUAUAAUAUAAUAUAUUUAUUUAUAUUAAUAAAUUGAAACGGAGAACGGGGCGGGAGUUGAUCCCCGUCCCUCACCCCAUUUAAAAUGGGAGAGAAAAAUUUUCUCUCGUUCACGCCCCAUUACUCCCCUGCAGGGGCAUUUGCCCUGUUGUCAUCCCUAAUGCUAACCUUAUAAAAGUGAUGAGGUUGGGGUUUGGGCCAUUGCCUUGCUAAAGGACGUCCAAACUCUCUUGGUCUGGGCCCUUGUUAUAAGGCCUGUAAAACAUGGUCGACUCCACAACAUUCGGAAUCUUGAAUUUUUUUGUUAACUUUGUCAUGGUUCAAUCGAAACUCUAAAUCUUAAAAAUUAAAAUGUAAAGUGGGAAGAUCUGAGAGUUAAACUAAUAAUUUCAUGGUCAACUAGCUAAUACUAUCACUAUCAACUUUUUUUUUCAUUUUUUUUAGCAGGAGAGAAGCGGGAAGGGGACAGAGAUUUGAAUCUAGAAUCUCGAUCCUUAGCCACUAGACCAAAAUCUCAUCGAUAACGUCACAACCAGUCUUUUUUUUUUUUUAUUACUACAUAAAACAAACAGAUGAGGGAAUGAUGUUUCAAAAGUCACAUGUCAGAAAAUUUUGAGAAUGCAAUCUAGUUCAGGAAUUUGAUUGUGAUUGGUAUUGGUUGCAAAAUAGGGGGCUUUUUUUUUGAGGGAUAAAAAAUUAGGGGGCAAAAUUUGGGCCAAUAAGAUGAGGAUUGGAGCCCAAAUCAUUAGAAGGGCCGAAGGUGAGUUAUAAUUUAUAUAGAUAGAGGAGGUCCUAUAGUUGGGCUUUGCAAAACCGAUUGACAGAGGAAAUAGCUACCAUCAUCGUCCUAAGACAAGAGGGGUGUUGCCAAACGUGAGAUUUGUCAUCGAAGAAGAAGCCAGGAUCGUGAAGAGAUCCAUUGAAAUCAACUCGAAGAUGAAGAACUCAAGUUAGAGGUUAACAUAGCAUAGAAUUUAAUACUAAGAUGAACAACAGAAAUCAGCAGCAAUUGCAAUCUCAAACUCGAAGAUGGGCUUUGGGAGGAGCGUUUGUGCUGCUACUACCGAAUUUGUUUCCCGGCCUCCUCACUCCGCUGGGCCGUGCUUAUCCCUCCCUCUUCUCUGUAAUGUCCCUGUCUUUUUCUUUCUUUUGUGGUCAUUUUUUAUUGCAUUUGGAAGCUUUUUUUUUUCCUUGAAUUUGAUCUCCUGAAGAGUUAGUUGUACGAUGGUUUUUUUUUUUCCUUUUAGUUUCUGGGAUUGUUGAAGUUUGGAUUUUGUUUGGCGGGGGUUUUUCCUUUCAUAAUUUGCUGAUAUAGUCGAGAUAAGUGCAUUUUUCUGUUGUUUGGACUAGUUGUAAUUUUUCGUUUGGAGAGUUUUCUUGGGGAUGCCAGGAAAUUGAGAAGACUGUAGUUUGGUGGUUUAUAUUAUGAUGAACUGAGUUUAUACAGCCCUGCUGUCUGGAUAAAUUUGAUUGCUACUUUUCCCUCUGAGCCUAAUGCAGAUUUUAUUUCGUUUAGCUAUAAAUCAUACGAUGAUUGGCUAUUUGACGAGCUUAAGAGCUUGGAAUGCUCAAACUUUUGUUGCAACUUUCUACUUGCAAAUCAGAGCAACUACUCUUUGCAUUGAUGUUUUAUGUCACACAGAGGUAUCUUUGCAAUUUUAGGAAUGGAAUGCUCCGAGACCUAUGCAUUUGGAAUUGAUGAAUGGGGCUUUACAACAACAAACAGUGAGUAGGUGCUAAGUUUAUAGCUUUGGUCCAGAAAUGAUCUUGGAACUUGGAAUUAGUAGUUCUUUUGAUCUGUUUUAUCGUUCAACUUUCAGUCUGGUGAACAAGAAUCAGAACUCUGGUCUCCUUGCCCGACCAAGGAUGGAAACGUUGUGCUGACUCACAUGCUAAAUCUUGUGAGUCCUUUCAGUUUGCUAAUUGUUCCUUGUACCUUGUUGAUGUUUCGCCAAUUUGGCUCAUAAACUUUCUUGGAGAAAUGUGGCCCAGUUUCUUUGUCUUCUGAUGGUCCAAUACAAAACUGUAUUUGCUUUUGUAGCUUUGCCCAAAAAGUCCCAGGGCUACAUUCAAGUGUUUCUUGAUGGAGGACUGAAUCAGCAGCGAAUGGGGGUAAGGUGGCUUCAGUUGUAGCUUCUGUUGUGUAUGAUAUCUUGAGUUAUCUGUGAAUUGCUUAAAAGAAUUCUAUAAUGAUAUCAAUAUGUAAUGUCUUUUAAUACUUACUUAAUUUCCCAUUUGUCCCUUUUGAAGAUUUGUGAUGCCGUAGCUGUUGCUAAAAUUUUAAAUGCUACACUUGUGCUUCCACACUUUGAAGUGAAUCCUGUUUGGCAAGAUUCAAGGUACUGUAUGCUCAAGAUUAUGCGUAUUGGUUCCUAAACAUAAACAGACACUUCUGACCUGAAAUCUCAUUUUCUGAAGUUCAUUUACAGAUUUUUGAUGCUGACCACUUUAUUGAUGCCCUGAAAAAUGAAGUCUCUGUAGUUAAAGAUCUGCCAAGUCAAUAUUCUUGGAGUACACGAGAGUAUUAUGCACGGCAUAAGAGCCACUAGAAUCAAAACAGCACCUAUGCAUGCACCUGCCACUUGGUAUCUGGAAAAUGUUUUGCCUGUAAUGCAGAGGUUUGUGGAAAUUAGAGCCCUGCAUGCUUGGUGUUAUUAGAGUGGUGGCCAAGACGUCACAUUUAAGGCUGGUUAAAUGCUUAUGCUUAUCUCUGUUGUGGAAUAUAUGUCACUACUGUUUCUUUUUUUCUUUUAACAAUUGCUGUACAAUCCUAUUACCAUUUAAUUCAAAACACUAGGUAUCUGCUAAAAAGAAUCGUUGUUUACAAGAUUGAUUGACUCAAAACCAUUUCAAAGGAAAGAACCAGUAUCCCAAUUCUUAGCAAGGCUUCUUUUUAAGGCAUCAUUUACUCAUGGAAAUCCUGGAUCAUUAAACUCUGUUCACCUGAUGUGGAUGCUGAAUUGAAGAUAAUAACUUAAAUUCUGUUCUCAGUUCUGAUGACUUCUGGGCUUCUAUUUCUUUGAAUUGACUUCAAUAAGGAAAACAUGAUGGUUGUUUGGGGAUUUUCCAAUAAUUUAGAUCAGGUGAAUCGAAAGCUGUUGAUGUUGCUGUUUUUGGUCCUUGUUAUAUGGUUCCAAUGAAAAUUAGUGCUUCCUCAUCCACGUAAUUUAUGUCAAUGUUAUAGGAGCAUAAAUAUUGUUUAUAGACUGAAUCAUAAAGAUCCCAAUCUUUCACUUCUAAGGUUUCACCUAUGAGGCGUGUUCUUUCUAUCAUCAUGUCAUUGGAUAUUGUUCUAGAAAAUAUCUACGCCAUCUGGAAGUAAAUUUGGCAAUCAUAGAUGGAUCUAGGGAGGGUGGGGCCCCACAGUUUCCUAGAAAAGAACAAUUUCUUUCUCUUUAGAAAUGGAAAAUUUUCAAAAUGUGUCCUAUAGAAGUUUAAGAUUUUCCUGUCAACAUAUAUUUUCUGCAUCCAGCUAUGCUGGUACUUGCUCUUCUUCACAACAUGUCCAGUUAGAGUAGCCUUCCUUGAUUAAAUUUUCCUACAAAAUUAUUGGUUUGAUUCGUCCCUUGAUUGCUUGUUUAGUUACGGGAUUGCAGCUAUUGCCCCAUUUUCUCACCGAUUGGCCUUCGACAACCUGCCUUCUGAGAUCCAGCAGCUUCGCUGUAAGGUUAAUUUUGAGGCUUUGGUUUUUGUUCCCCAUAUCCGGAUGUUAGCAGAGACCCUCAUCAAUCGCCUGCGGUAUGCACCUAGUGGUGACAGGGCAGUAGGCGUCUCUAACUGGCAGGAAAGAUUAGAUGAUAAGCGAAGAGCUGGAAAGUAUGUUGUGUUACACCUGCGGUUUGACAAAGUAUGAACCUUUCUGCUUUAAGCCUCUGAUAAAGAAAUGAGAGAAUGCAUUGCAUGUUCAUGUGCAUAUGGCGUUUUUGGGGGGGGGUUGGGGGAGAGGUGUAUAGCUAAGAUAAGCUCAGUCGUUGGUUUAGCAUUGUUGUGGCUUACCAACUAUAAGUAAAUAGAUUACAUUGUCUUGUGUUGUAAUAGUUCCACAUAUGAAAUCUGCUACUGAGAAGUUUUUCCAGAUAGUUCCAUGGUGCAAUUCUCCAUUGAUUACCUUCUCAGCAACUAUUAUCUAAAACACAUUUCGUUGAAGUUUGAAUGCCACAUGGCUAGGCUGGAUUUUAGAAUUGAGGUACAUUUGUGUCCUAUUGCUCAUCAUGUCGGUAUCUGUUGUGGACAGGAUAUGGCUGCUCACUCGGCUUGUGACUUUGGUGGGGGUAAAGCUGAGAAAUUGGCACUUGGAAAAUACCGGCAGGUGCUUUGGCAGGGAAGGGUACUCAAUUCUCAGUUCACUGAUGAAGAACUACGAAUUCAAGGGCGUUGCCCUCUGACUCCGGAAGAAAUUGGGCUUCUGCUGGCUGCUCUGGGCUCAAUAACAGUACCACUGUAUCUGGCAUCCCACAAGGUUGAUUGUGGAGAUUGGAACUUAAGUCAUUCUCCACUGUACUCCAAAAUGUGAGGCUUCUUGUUUCAAGAAACAAGUUUCUGAUGAUUCUUUUUUCUUGUGUCAUACAGGUUUAUGGUGGUGAAGCUAGGAUCUCAACUCUGAAAAAGCUGUUCCCUUAUAUGGAGGAUAAAAAAAGCCUUUCUUCUGCCGAGGAACGGGCUAAGGUGGACGGAAAAUCUUCUUUAUUGGCUGCUGUGGACUAUUAUGUGGGCAUGCAAAGUGACAUUUUUGUUUCUGCUUCACCAGGAAACAUGCAUAAUGCACUGGUAAGACUUGGUAAAUUAGGUUAAUUACUUGAAUCUGUGUUCUGUUAUGAUGAAUUGGAUUGCUGAUGCAACAAGAAUGAUGCUGAGUUGGAAUCUCUGGAAUCCUCAGGUAGGACACCGAACUUACAACAACUUGAAGACCAUUAGACCGAACAUGGUGCUCUUGGGCAAGCUCUUCCUAAAUAAAACCUUGGAAUGGUCAGAUUUCCAGCAAGCAGUUAAGAAUGGGCACAAGAAUAGACAAGGGCAACUCAGGUUAAGAAAAGAAAAGCAAUCCAUCUACACCUAUCCUAUUCCUGAUUGCAUGUGUCAAGCAUAGUUGAUUCUGAUCCAAACACAAAACCUUGUUUGGCCCUCUUUCUUCAUACUAUAAUCCAGGCCGGUAGUGGCUAAACAUUGAUAAUGGUAAGUGGAACUCUUUCAUCGCUGUCUAUGACUUGUAAGAGAAAGCAGAAGACUACUUGGACUUCACCCUUACCGCGAUGUGCUGUUUGCCUGCUGAUUUAAGAAGUGUGAGUACUCUUCUUGGCUCUGGAUUUUACCAGUGCUAAUAAGCCAAUUAGUCAAGUGCAUAUUCAGUUCUUCAUCGGUAGUUGCUGUCGGUGAUCUAAUAUUUUUGCCUUUCCCACCACGACAGUCUUGGCCUCCUCUGCGUGGAAUGGGACUGCCAUCCACAUGAAAAUUGAAGCUUUUCUUGGAGAAUGUAGAAGUUUUGGUUAUCAUUUCUGUUUGCGUAAUUUAUGCUUAAGUAAUCCAAUGAGGUGCAUGUAAAUCAUUACUAUGAUUCUAUGAAGUGCGUGUAUGACUAGGUCUGAAAUCAGAAGGUUUUAUUGUGAUCAAUUCUAUUAGUAGCAUAAUAAAAUAUGUGGUAUGUACCAUCGAAUUUCCAGCUCCGUUGCUUGAUUUGACACACUGACGUUAACUUGAAAGUUACAGCUCUCAAAACGACUUAAUCUAGUCAUUGACUCACUUGUGUCUGGAUUGUAAUUUUUUGGUUAAAAAUUAUAUAUUUACAUCACAAACAUAUUUUUGCACCAUAAGUGAAAGUAAUACAUAAUUACAUAUAUAUUUCAAAUAAUCUCUUUCAAAACAAAUCGGAGUAUUUUUAUAAUUUAAUAUUUUAUUAGGUAUUACCAUUACUACCAAUCUAUAUCCUCCUUUCCCCUUUUCUUCAUCUUCCCCGGCCCGGCCAUCCCCUCUCCCUCCUCUACCCCAAACCCCUCCCCCCGGCCCUUUGGUCGCGACCUUUCUGGUCAUGGGCAGAGGGGAGGGUGGUUUGGGAGGGGCAGGACGGAGGGAAGGAGAGGAAGAGGGAGAGAGGGAGAAAGGAGGCGGAUGAGCGAUGGAGGAAGGGGUGGUGGCAAGUAAAAGAGAUAGAGGUGGUAAUUAUUUUUAUUUAUUUAUUUAUAUUUUUAUUAGUCUAUUUGAGAUUUGUAUAGAUUAGAUGCUUUUACAAUUAUAUUAUGCAACAUUAUAUUUGAAAAUUUUUUUUUUAAAAAAGCUCAAUCCUCAUAGAUCCACAAUUUUAACUACUUUUUUUCACAUCAUAAAAUAUGCGGCUAAAAGUAUUGUUCCAAAUAAUCUCAUAUCCAAACAUAUCAAAUUUGUUAUCCAAUUUACUUGAUUUUGUACUGCCGUAUGGAUUGGCUAUCCUGAUUAGAGGAUUCCGCUUGCUGAUGGAAAAAGUUAUCUUAUGCAAUCAAGAGUAAAACCACUUUUAUCUCUUGGGGCUUUCAAUACAAACGGUCUUGCAAAUUCUGACCCACAAUAGAUUCCUUCUGAUAUAAGUUCAAAGAAAAAAAAAAACUCUUAACAUACUCGCAUAAACUUCUAAAUUCAAUGAAUUUUGAAUUUCUGAGUUCAAUACAUUCCCAUUUACAGGUGUUAUGAAAUUCAUAACAGUGCAAAACGCAGCUCCAAAAAACACGCUUUAUGCAUUCUGCACUUUGUUAAAAGAUAUGCCAGUACUAGACACAGAUCACUUUUCUUUUUCCUGCAAAUCACGCGGUCCUCCAUUUGGAAUUUCGCCAAUUUCAUCCUGCUUAUCUUUGCCUACAGUAGCCAACCCAUUUCCAUUCCAGCAGGCAGCUACGUCCUUGACCUCUGAUUGAGUUGGGGCUGGCCAUAUCUUCCUCAAUUGGAAGUGUCAUUUUCGAGCCUUCUAAAGCAACGCCAAGAACAAUAUUAUCUUCCAAUGUAGUCUUUGAGCUGACGCUGAUGGUAUAUGCCUUUCAACAUCUGGCAUUGCCUGUGAAGUGCUAGAAGCUACAGCUUUGCCAUCACGGCCAAAUUCUUGGACAGAUGGACGCUGUAUUCAGGUACCUUUCCUCCAGUAUUCAGACUUGUUGCAACAGCUGAAGCCUCUUCAGAACAGCUCUAUCAGCUACCUGCUUCACGGAAUUUCUUUGGCCUGGAUCAAUGGAACCCAUAUGUGGCAAGGCAUCAGAGUUGAAGCUCUCAACUGUUGCCUUUUGAUUGUUGUCAGAUAUCAGUUCUGUGGAGCCCUCAUCAUCGACUUUGUCAUCAUCAACAAUUGAUGUUGGUCCAACUUUAGCAUCCACCUUAGUCUCAGAUGUUGAGGUUGCUUCAACCUUCUCAUCUUUUUCUUCAUUAGGUUGUUCUGUACGACCUGUUGUCCUGAUUUUAUUGUCAUUAUUAACUUUAUAAGAAGGAUCAACCAGCAGGAAAGGACGAUUAGAUGCCGCUCUAGUACGACGGAAAAUGGUCUCAGAAAAUGGAAUGGUUUCCCAUCAGUUUCACCAUAUACUUUCUGCACUGUACGUAUGGGGGUGGCAAGCCGAGCUCGAUGGUGACUGAUCACUCUAAGGAGAUCUUGCAAGAUAGACUCCUAUAUUGAGGGAAUUACACUGAUUAAAAGGCUAUAUUUUCGAGCCAUUGUACAUGCUAUAAAAUGUAUUGAGACAAUAAGAUAAAUGACAAGAUGAACUCUGAGUGCAUUAUUAGGUAAACAACAACUUGUUGAUUAAAAAAAAAAUCUAGAAACUCGAGGAGAGGUACUCAAGACUUGAACCGGUACGUCACGGUUACCUACCAGUGAGCUAGGUCUUAGGGAAUGCAGACCUCUCCUGAAUGUUUAACACUAAAAGCAUGAAACUAGUAAAUGCAGCUCAGAACUACUCGCAGAAGCUGCAGCUUCCAGCAGACCUUAAUGACGACAAGGCAGCAACAAAGGCAACACAGAAGAUAAAUAGAAUCCAUACUACUAAAAAACCUAAUUAGCAUCUGAAAUCCCAUUUGCAUGUACCAUCUAGCUAAUCUGAUUUACUAUUAAGUGUUGCUUACCUUACACAUAGGUACUCUUCAAAACGCGAGGUCUUCACGAAGCAAGAGACCAUAAUCUGUUAUAUGAUACAGGCCAACAAAAAGUUAUUGCACUCUUAAAUAGCUACAAGCCAUAAAGCUAGAUGAAAAACAAUCAAGGCAAAAGAAUGACAAAUUUUAUUCUGGCAACCAAAGCAGAGGCAAGAGUCAGCAAACAGCUUCAUAUUGGCCUAUUCAGCUAAUUUGGUGAAUAUAAUCAGUAUUUAGUAGCUAAUAACAACUGAAGAUUAGAUGCCCCAGUGUCCUUCUGCAUAGAUCAACGCAUUUUUGUAUUUGAAUGUAACCUUCAGCUAUGUAAAGCUCAUUUCAUACAAGAACAAACAAAACUCUUCCACGAAUCAUCUCUUCUCAUCAGAUAAUGUAGUAGGACUACUUCACAUAAAAACGAGCCAAUGAUAACAGUUAUGAAAUGAAAAACUCACCAUGAGUGCCUGAUUCUCUGUAUCUAUAUAAUCUAGAAAUACUCGUCUAUGCAACUUCUGCUGCUCUAUUUGAGGAUUUUUAGCCAAAACCUUGCGCAUAUCAGACACAAUAUUCUGUUAAAACAAAAGGUAUAAGUGGCGUGAAAAUAGGAACAAUGCCAACAUCAUAGCAUUUAUAAGAAGGAAUAUCAAAUCUUACAUUGAUCUUAUUGACAUCCAAAUGACUUAUGGCAGGCUGGAUUUAAUUCGCCAAUGAGUCUUCUGGCUAAGAUUCCUUACCACAUUCAUUGUAAACUUGUGACUUGGAAUGUGAACUGCUUCACGGUCAUCACCUCUUAUAACUGUUGGUGACCACCAUCCCACAUGCUGAACAACAAAUUAAAUACAUUUUAGAUUCUCCAGACAGUAUUUCAACACUAAGUCACAUGUUCAUACAGUAUUUAAUGAUCCAGUUAACUCUGCAAGGAGUUUAAGAUUUAUAUGCAGAACUUUGUCACCACAAAUAUCAUAAAGAUUUUAGGACAAUGCAGACAAACCUCAACUGUACCAGAAACUUCAUAGCCAUCAAUCUUUGUCUGAAUCCAAUCGUUGAGAACAAAUGGCCGUGUUGCAUGGAUCAUUACACUUGAAAGAAAAUUUGUGAGAAUCUGAAGAAAAUGGAAGAGAACUAUUUAGCCUUAGAAGGAAAGGGAAGCUAAGACAGAUGCGGGGAAAGGUAUUUACAGUAAUUACUUGCACUAAUUGCUACAAAAGAUACAGGGAGGAAGGAGAAUGAUUUACCUCACGACCAGCAAGGGUUAAUAAUACUGUCCCAAGACCCCCAGCAGUUAGCCACUUCUGGGUUGAAAAACCAAGCAAUUCCAUGAAUAAUGAAACAGCAGCAACCCAUACUGCAGUAUAUACAGCUUUUCCAGCAAACUCAAAGCCCAUCUAAAGGUGCAAAGCAUCACGAAGUUAGAUUAUUUACAAUACCAUAGGCAAACUGACAGAUCCAUUAGACCAAAACCAACCAAAUGAACAAAAUGCUAGACCUAAUUGACAGUCUAUCUAAACACAUGGAUGGAAUUCUCACGAAUUAGGAUGCAUGUUAUCCGUAAGAACCUCUAAACAGUAUCACGAAUACGUGACAGCUGUAAACUAAACACCUACUGUAGGUAGUGUUUGUAGUGCAAAACACGAAAUCUUUAGUUAACUCAGAACCAAAAGGCAAUACCAUAAUAAGCAACAGAGAAUGUGCAUGCAUGACAAGGCAGAAAGACUAGCAUCUUAAUUACCCAUUAGUCAUUAAUGACUGGCAACAUAAUGGCCUCUUGCAUCAAUUAAUGGGCCUUUUCUACAAGUGGUUUUAGGUUCACAUUAAUUUCUAGUAUGCCAGAACAUUUGAACGGUUGCACAUGUAAUGAGAGAAUGUAAAUCUGUUGCAUAGUCUAAAAGUAAUCAAAACGUACUGUUCUUGCAUCACUAGAUUCUUUUGUUUCGACAAAGAACUUCUGAGUCUGAUGAAUCAAGCUGUCCAAAAAAAAAAAACCAAGAUUAGAUAUCAUACUCUAGAAUCUAUACUAACUCCAACAGAAAGGGCAUGACAAGAGAAGCAACAGACUGCAGACAAGGUCCAAUUACAGCAAGCACAUUUACCUGCUCACAUCCAUGCGUACAAGUAUGUUUGUAUCUAAGGGGCACAAAGAAAGGGGAGGGAGGGAGGGAGGGUGGGGGGAGGAGAGAGUUGCACAGCAGCAUAAAGUUGUACAAACAAUUAAAUGGAAAGCAGAGACUCGUCCUAAGAAGAUUGUUGCCACAGCAAAACAACUUAUAUUUUCAAGGAGGGGCAAACAACAUACAGUUACAAGAUCAUAUCUUAUGAUAUAAAGAGGGGGAGGGGGAAGGGAGAGAGAGAGAGAGAGCUAUGCCUUUAACAUCAGCAAAACAACCAACUCCAGUAGAAAUAAAACAAAUUAAACAACCAAUAAUGCGAACUUUGAGUUUUCUAAGAGAAAUCAAUCGUAGAAUGACCCUAUCCUUUUACUUUAACAGAAAAGAAAACAAAGAUAGUAAUAGAUCAAGUUGUUUGUUGCCUAGCACUAGAGAGUUUUAAGCAAUAAGUUUACCUUGAUAAACAGUAGGCAAAGGCAAGAAUAGUAGACAGUGAUCGUACAAAAUACAAAAGCCGUCGCUUGACAGCCUGGCUAGCUACUGAAGUUAGAAUCACAGGAUCAAGUGCUCUGCAGAAGUUCCAUCAAAAGGAAAAAUAAUCAGAUCGUCUAAAGACAAAACAGGUUAUAACAAACAUUCCAAUUUUGUCCCACUAGUACCUGCAAAUGAGCAUUGCUCCAGUCCAAAACAGCAAAGGUUGAAGAUAGGAAGUCACAAGAUUAUGUAUCCCGCUCUUUUUCCAACUACCAUCAUUCUUCUGCAUGAAAAAAUCAUGAGGGACAUCAGCAAAGUAUCAGCUUAAACACCUCAUGAAAGAAAAGAAAAACAUUGGGGUAAUGAUAAAGAAUGUACACUUAGGAAAAGAAUCCUCCCGAAACGCAUGAGCGGCCUAAGCCCCAAGCAGCCAAGGCAAUUAUACCAAUGGCUGGAACCAACUGAAGCACAGGAGGACUUCCAUGCAAAGUACCAUGUGACCUGCUAAAAAUGGUUAUGAGUUUAUCCAAUGUGCCGUCAUCUCAUGGUGCAAAAAAAAAACUGUAUUUGCAAUAAAUAAAGACAAGCUUAUGGUCCAUCCUACCAUUUCAUGACAACCAACGAGGACAACAAGAGGGAAAGGGGACCCUUAUAAGAAUCCCACAGAAAGCCUUGAAAGCAUUAAAUAAAACAUGUACCUGGAAAUUAUUUUUGCAGCUGCUUUCAGAACAGGAAUCUCAUUUCCUCCACCGGGUUUUAAUAGGGAUCGGCACGUAAAACCAUUAAAUUUAGCAUUAUUAGGGCAUAGGGGGCCAUGUACAUUUUUCAAAACGCAGAGACUCCAAGCAUCCUGUCGCUACAUGAUUGACAAAAUUAGUGUCCACACAUAAGACAACUUCUCUAAAAUAAAUAAAUAAAUAAAUAUAUCCCUCACAGAUUAGAGAAGUGCUGGUCAAGGACUAGGUAAAUUUUUAGAAUCCACGAAAUUUGACAAGUUCCCAUUAAAUUUAACCAAAUAUAUCGAAUUUCGCUCAUUUCAUCAUCCACUUGGAAAGUUUCAACUCCCAAACAAAACAUGAAUCCAAAAAGAUAGCAAAUAACAAGCUUAAGUAGAUAAUGGAUAUGCUAAAAAACAAACUUCUUCUUUGGUAUCAACAACAUUGAGAUAUUUGGGUUGGUAUGCUAUUCACGAAUUCCAAUCAGUUGCUUAGCAUGAAAGCAUAAAAUUCCAGCAGCAUAAGAGGAGUAAAUGGAAAGCAUAUGCGCAUUACAUACCACUGAAUAAGAUGAAAGAGACGAGCUAAACGAGUGUAAGCGGGUCUUCUCCAUCAUGCCCUGGACACGAACAAAUGAAAAUUAGAAUAACUUACUUGAGAAAAAGUUAGCAAAGAGACUGAAGGGUGCAGAUCAUGUACCGAAUGUAGUAAACCUCCAUGCACCUUAAACUGGCCAUAGUGGCCACAGAUUCGCAUUUCACAGGGCGAAAGCAAGGAAGUUGCAGCUGCCAUUGUCUCAACAUAUAAAAAGAAACGGCACAAUACCGAGUGCACAUCAACUGGAACUCCCCCUGGAACCCACCAUUUUCAUAAGAAAUAGAUACACAACCAAAAAAUCAUGUGAAGUCAAACAGGCAGGCAGACAUAAUUAAAUAACAUUUAUCCCAGAAUAAUGAUCAAGAAAAAAAUAAAGAUUCCAUUUUUAGCAACCCAAACAAUUAAUAUGCACAACUCUACAAUAGUAAAAUUUUCUUUUCUUUUUUUUUUAACUCUAUAAUAACAGUUCAUCAAAGACAAAAACUAAAUUCUCUAAUUAUAGAAAACACUUUCGCUGGACAACGAUUUAGAGCAAAUCCAUUUUUGUUAUAAAGUUACACAUAAAUUAACAAAUAAAAGUAUCCAAGUGCAUAACAUGAAGAAUUUCCCUCGUCCUUAAGCUUUGACAAUCUCUCUCUCUCUCUCUCUCUCUCUUCUUUUUUUUUUGGGGAGGGGGUGGUGGGGUUCCAAGGGAAUAGAAAAAGGUUGCAUUAUUUACUUAUUUAGCAGUAUUUUCUUAGCUAUCCUCUGCUACAUUUAGCUGCCAAAUCAAACAAAAUAACAGAAAAGGUCAUCAAAAUAAUCUCCAUCCUUCGGUGCUUAUUAUAUUCCCAGUUCCUCGUCCUCCAAAUUUCAGCUCAACCUUAACUGUACAGCCACAAUCCGAACAAAAUUUAUCACAAUUAAAGAACCCAAGAUUCAAAAUGCAGAGCAUCUUAACUAAUUAACCCUGCAUAUAUCAACAAGGACGACGAAAUUUUAAAUAAAAUAAAAUAAAAAAAGAAAAAGGAAAAGGAAAACUAAUGGCUUCUACCUUAGUUUACCGCAAAAUGCAAACAGCAAGAAAAGCGGACCAAAAUAAAUAAAUGAAUAAAACUUUGUUCGGAACUGAGAAGGAAGGAAAGAGGAAAAACUUGCGCCGGCCGGCUGCUACUGUUCCGUGGUCAAAUGGAACUACUACUAUUAUUACACGGGGCCUUUUGUAGAGGGGGGAUUGUUCAUUAUUGUUAUGGAUAAAUAGGGACUGCUGACGUGGGGGACUGAGAGCUAUGUUUUGUUGCCGCGUACGGCUUUGUCAGUCUAUUGCCUGUUGCUUUGCUUUUGCAACUAACCCACGUUUCCCACAAGUUGUUUUGCCUUUUUUUUUUUUGGGUAAAGUACAUAAAACCCCCCUGUGGUUAAGGAAAUUGACACGAAAUCUCCUUAUUGUUUAGAAACUCCCACUUAACCCCCCUAUGCUUUGGACUUAUUUGGCUUUUACCUGCUAACCGACUGAGGAGCCGGUAAUAAUAUGAAAUACCAAAAAUACCCUCAUAUAUAAUAUGUGAAAAGUUACGGAUGCAAUGAGUCAAUUUGAGAAAUUGCAUCUUGAAUAGGCAUCCCUCCAUCAUGGGCUGAGCAUCGUCCCUUCCUUUCCUAGCGGCAGGAUCUCUUUGUUCUUCGCAUUCGCUGGAGUAGCAUUCCGCAUCCCAAAACAUUCUUCGCUAGCAAGCGUUGUCCACAAAAGCAGCACCAACUCCAAAGUCGGCAUUCCUUCUUCCUGUUCCUGAGGAAAAACCCAUCUUCAAUGCACACCGUCUGCUUCUCGCCUGAUUCUCUAGAUCGUUCCCGGGACCAGCAACAACGAACGAAAGCCCAAAGAAAAUCCUUACCAGUGUAAACAGCCCUAAUUCAGGGCGCGUAGAUCAAUGCCAAAGUAAGCUAAAGCUUCGUCUUUUCCGUUCUGGGUACAGAAUCUCAGGGAUUGGCUCAGAAGCCGCAGGCGCUUUUUCUGAUUGGUUUGUUGCUUUGCUUGCUCCCUUCUCUUGCUUACACAUUCUGUAGCUUUUUUUGUUUUUCAAGGCUUUGAUUGCCUGUUUGAUUAGGCCUAGAUCUGGCUGAAACCUUUUCAAAAGGAGUCGAAUCAGUCUGGCGACUUCCUCAAUUGCUAACCAACUAAACCCAGAAGAGAUGCCAUUGUGGAUGGAAAGGCUAACUACGCAGCUAUGCGACAGAAAGAUGGGCGAAGUGGAUCAAAAAGGUAGAUUUGUGGCCCUUGAGAACUGCCUUUGGGGAUUGAGCAAGCCAGGGAUUAAGAGCGUAUGUUAGGUAGUUCAGAUUUGUAGCAAGUAGUGCCCAUGAAUCUGAGUUCGGAGUGAGCUGGAGAUGCUCCCUUUUCUCUAUGAAUUGCGAGUCACUCAAGAAGCAGUGCCCAACCUAGGACUACUAUGAACCAUUGCUUGCUUCCCGCCUAGCAAUCCUGGUAAUUGGAACGAAGCUAUAGCCCUUUCUUUCAUUCUCUUUCGAAAUUAGGUAUGAAAGGCUCUAUUGCUUUCCCAUUGAAGAAGGGUUAGGCUGACCUGGAAUCCAAUUGAAUAGAGGUUGGGUCUUCGAUUUGCAUCUCUGUCAAAAUUUUUCAUUUGCAGAUCUACAACUAUGGUGGGUGCAAGCUUGGAAGAGACAUAGAGGACAAAAUUGGAAUGAAAUGAGUUUCUGCUAGACACAAGUUACCAUUAAGUCGCGUAAAUAUCACUCGCUAGCUCCCCAGCCGGUUAGCAGGUAAAAUCCAAACAAGUCCAAAGCACAGGGGGGUUAAGUGGGAGUUUCUAAACAAUGAGGAGGUUUCGUGUCAAUUUCCUUAACCACAGGGGGUUUUAUGUACUUUACCCUUUUUUUUUUAUUGGUACGAAAUAUAGUACUAGUAAAUACUAAAUACUACCAAAAAGCGUUUAAAAAUGGAUUCACAGAAAUAAUUUUUUUUUUUUAAAAAAAUGACCAAUUCAUACAAGUUCAAAAUCUUUUCAUUUUUCAACACUUGACUAUAUGCACUAAAAUUAUUUUAAAUACAUGUCACGUGUGUAAAAUUUAGAGUUAAAUUUCAAAAUUAAAAUGACAUGAUAUGCAUCCAAAUUCGUAUAUUAUCAAUGUCGAUAAAAUCUAUCUAACCAAAAAAAAAAGAGCAAAGAGUAUCAUUUUUCUAGAUGUUGGCGGUCAAUUGCAAAAGGAUACAUAUUUCUUGAGGUUGGGUGCCAUAAAAUAAAUUCCAAGUGGUGUAAUUGGAUGAUCACAUAUUCCAAUUCGAUCUCAAAUUCAAGCAUGGAUAAUGCUAUUUGAAUUCAAGCGAGUAACGAUACUUGAACUCGAACUCGAACUCGACUCAUGCGAGUAGUAUACAAACUUAAACUCCCCUCAAAUUAACUUGAAAAUCCCGUCAAGUCUUGUCGAGUUCGAACCACCCAAAUCCAAGCUUGAAAUCGAGCUCAAAGCCUGAUUUUUAUAUUCAAUUUCCAUUCCUAAUUUUCCAUUCAACUCAGCUCAAGACGUGCAUUGAGGAUGGUCAUUUCGGCUCGAGUACCUCCCGAAGUGCCACCUCGGCAAGACCUGUUGGUUUGGAACCCACCUCAUUACCACUCCGGCUAAGAUCAUUAGCCGAAGUGAUGCUUGAUUAUUUGAUAACUGCAGAAAGGUACGAUGUGACUCCUGACACAUCUGACACCUGGAAAGGCUGCUCUGAUACGCCGUCUGAACCUGACAGAUGUCCCCUCACAUCUCAUAAAGAUUGGUCAAGUCUACCGGAUGCACUGACCAUCUCAGAUCUUUAGGGACUCGUGCCGACAGUCCCUCUCUCCUAUCCUUCCUCUAUAAAUUCUCAACAUUUCUAUUGAGAAAGGGAUGAUGACCAAUUCUCUGGUAACAUACUCCUCCCUUCAUUAUACUACCUCCUUACAACCGAACUAACUUGAGCUUCGGAGUUAUAUUAGGGGAUUCAGCCCCUCUUAUUACCCAAGCAGGUGACCACGUCCAAGAGAGCUGCCCAAGAUAAAAAUACUUCUCCAGUUUGGGUGACUUACUCCAGCGGGACGGAAAUCACCUCUUCAAUUGGCGCCGUCUGUGGGAACGCAAAGACAUCAGAGUAUGAAGCCUACGCGUUCUAAGAGCAGAAAAGCUCUCACUAUUGGGGCUGAGCAAAGUAAUGCAGCCCAACAGAAGGUAUAUCUGAAGGGCAGGGGUCUCCAAGGACCCAGCCCGCAAACGAAGAAGCCAUCUCUCGUAUGGCCGAGUUUGUUACUGACAAUCCCAACAUCUUCGAGGAAUUAGGGAGAUACCUGAAGAGGCAAGGCAAGCAAAAAGCCGAAUCCUCUAAGAGGAAGUCAGAUGGGUCUCCUGAAGACUCGUCCGAAAAGGAGUCUGAUGGAAGGCGCCUAAGCCGAAGUGCCUCGAAACGGGCAUUCUCCAAGGCCACCUCUAAGGUAGCCUCAAUGACCAAGGCAUUCUCCCGGGGACUCUUGGGCGACGACCUGAGGAGGAACCUCGGCCCCUGGGAUACCCGGGGUGAAUUACAUGAGGGCCCACCUUUCACCGACGAUAUCAAUGAGGAGAGGCUCCCUCCAACUUCAAGCUUCCCUCAAUUCCAUCCUAUGAUGGUCGGGUGAUCUGGAGGACCAUAUCCACGCCUUCAUCUCGGCCUUUCGCUUAUACUGCAUCCCUGACCCCGUCAUAUGCCGAGCCUUCCCAGUAUUCCUCCAGGGGACAGCUCGAAAAUGGUUCUGGGGGUUAGAACCUAGGAGCAUCUCAACCCUGGGAUGACUGGUAGAAAGAUUUCUCCACAGGUUCAUUCCAUCCCGACCUACGACCCGAACCUCGGCUACCUGCUGAACAUGCAGCAAAACCCGGGUGAGUCACUUCGGUCGUAUGUUCAGAGGUUCCAUGAAGAGAGCGUGCAGAUACCUGAUCCCAAUGAGCAGGUCACCAUCGCCGCUUUCACCCAUGGGCUCGUUUCCGGGGUGUUCAACACAGGAAUCCACAAAAAAUAUCCCCGCACUCUCCAUGAACUAUGGUUUAAAGGUCGAGAAGGGCAUACAGGCCGAGAGCUCAACCGCAUGAAAAAGAAGUCCAAGCUGCUCGCCCGAGGGCUGACGCCCGAAGAGGGAAGGAGCCUAGCCGAAGUGAAGCGGGGACAGGAAGCGGCUUCCAAAGUCCCGGCUGAGAUCGCAGGAGUAUGUUCGACAGGAUCUCAAAAGGAAAGUCACCCAUUCCUGAAUCCGAACUAACUCCUUGAACACUAGCCGGUCUCGGGUGCUAUCCGUAAUGGAACAAAAUAACCUUGGAAAGGCACCCCCCAAGAUGCAGGGCAGCAGGGACAAGAGGAACUCGACCCUCUAUUACUUAUAUCACGAGAUAUAGGACAUGAAACCGAGGACUGUAACGACCUCAAGAGAGAGAUCGAGAACCUCAUUAGACAAGGCCACCUCAAGCAGUUUAUCCGCCGAAGUGGAGGUCAUCCGCGAUGAGAAUCGACGUGAUAAGCGAGGUGAUCAACCCAAGAUGAGAGGCGGGUAUCGAGAACUAGUUGCCGACCUCCUGAGAAUCCUAGGGAGUCGAAGAGGCCACCCGGAGACGGAUCCUCAGGUCAAGGAUUAGGAUAUGACCAAAUAUUGCCGGAGUCAUCAACACCAUUGCUGGAUGUCCGACGGGAGGAGAUAGUCAAAACUCCCGGAAGAGGACCUACAGACAAGCCAACCCGGAUCAGGCUGAGUCGAGUUCUCGCCUCUCUGAGGUGAUCACUUACGGGCCCAGUGACCCCGUCCCAGCUGCCUCCAGCAGUCAUGAAGCAUUGGUGAUUGAAGUCCUCACCAAUAACUACAUCGUGAAAAAGGUCUACAUUUACCCGGGGAGUUCAGUUGACGUCAUGUACCUUCGUACUUUUGAUAGCCUUAAACUGGCCAUGGUGAGAACCCUCUUGUCGGGUUCGGGGGACACAUUGUGCAUCUCGAAGGGAUGGUGACUUUGACAGUGACUGUAGGGCGUCACCUCCGCUGCAGAACCAUCCCCGUCAACUUCGUGUGGUCAAGGCUGACUCCCCAUACAACUUACUCCUAGGCCGACCUACACUUAAUGCUUUACGGGCAGUAUACUCCACCUAUCACCUAAGCUUUAAGUUUCCUACUCCAGAGGGGGUAGCCGAGGUCAGCAGCGACGUCUGCGCUGCCCGGGAGUGUUACCGCCACUCUACAAGCAGCCUCCCCGUCCACCUCCGGAGCAAGGCCCGAGAGGAGGUCAAAUAUCCUCUCUAUAGAUAGCAUCGAUCCUCAGCGAGCUGAGAAGAUCCCGAGGCUGGAGACUGGGGAUGAGGUGGAAGAAUUCCCUCUGGACCCCACGAAGCCUGAUCAAACGAUUCGCGUCGGUACCCGAUUGCCCAGUCCUAUCAAAAGAGGUAUGGUGAGCCUUCUCAGAGAAUACCGGGACGUCUUUGCUUGGGCCGCAGAGGAGGUUCAAGGGGUCCCGCAUCACCUCAUGAUACAUGAGUUGAACGUCGACCCCCAAAUCCGCCCGGUCAAGCAGAAAGAAGGCACCUCGGCCCUGAGCGUAGCCGAGCUGUUGGCGAAGAGGUGGACAAGCUCCUCCCUGCAAAGAUCAUCCGGGAGGUCCAAUAUCCUACUUGGUUAUCCAACCCGGUUAUGGUAAAGAAGGACACGGGGGCUUGGAGAAUGUGCGUCGACUUUACCGAUCUCAACAAAGCUUGUCCCAAGGACUGCUACCCAUUGCCCAAGAUUGAUACCCUGGUGGAUUCAGCAAUGGCUAUGAAGUCCUCUGCUUCUUUGAUGCCUUCAAGGGGUAUCACCAGAUCGGAUGAGACCGGAAGACCAGGAGAAGACCGCCUUCUACACUGACCGACGGCACGUAUUGUUACACCACUAUGCCUUUCGGAUUGAAGAACGCCGGGGCCACAUACCAACGCUUGGUUAACCAAGCCUUUAAGUCUCAGAUCGGCCGGAUGGUUGAGGCCUAUGUAGAUGAUAUCCUCCUCAAAAGUCGGACAACCUCCACAUUCCUUGCCGACCUGAAGGAAGUCCUGGAAGUCUUUCGGAAGACGCGAAUAAUGCUAAACCCUAAGAAGUGUGUCCUGGGGGUCACUUCGGGGAAGUUUUUGGGUUACCUCGUCUCCAGGCGAGGUAUUGAAGCAAAUCCAGACAAGGUGAAAGCAAUUCAAGAGAUGUCUUCACCUCGGUGCGUCCGCGAUGUCCAAAGGUUGACGGGGCGGUUGGCCGCCCUGAAUCGAUUCCUAUCGCAUUCAGCCUCCAAGGCAUUGCCGUUUUUUAAAGUCCUUAAAAAGGCCAACAACUUCUCCUGGACCGAAGAGUGUCAACAGGCGUUUGAGCAGCUAAAGGAGUACCUCAACCACCUCCCAACACUCACUUCACCUCGCCCAGGGGACAAGUUAAUCUUGUACCUAUCUGCUGCCGCUGAAGCUGUAAGUGCCGUACUAAUAAGGGAGGAAGGUGUCCAAACACCUGUUUACUAUGUCAGCCGAGUCCUCCGAGGUCCGGAGACCAGGUACCUCAGGCGGAGAAACUUGUGCUAGCCUUAAUUCAUGCAGCUCAUAGGCUUAAGCCCUACUUUUUGGCCCAUCACGUCUGCCUGAGGACAGACCAACCACUUCGGCAGGUCCUAUCGCGACCGGAGGCCUCUGGACGCCUCACCAAGUGGGCCAUCGAGCUGGGAGAGUACGAUUUAUCUUAUGAGCCUCGCACGGCCAUUAAAGCCCAGGCUCUCGCGGAUUUUCUUGCCGAACUUACUUUUGAGGAAGCGAAUGAGAUCAUCCCGGUUAUUACCCAGGCUGUCACCUCGUCCACCGCCGAGCCUCAACAAUGGACCUUGCAUGUAGAUGGCUCAUCCAAUAGUGAGGGUAGUGGAGCUGGUUUGCUCCUCGAAGAUCCCCAAGGAGAAAUUUGCUCGUAUGCCUUGAGGUUUGAUUUUGCUGCUUCCAACAAUGAGGCCGAAUACGAAGCAGUCAUCGCCGGCCUGCAGUUAGCUCGUAAGCUCGGGCCGCGCAUAUUAUGGUCUAUAGCGAUUCUCAACUCGUUGUAUGCCAAUUACUAGGCGAAUACGAGGCCAGGGAAGAGGUGAUGCAUCGAUACCUCUCCAAGGUCCUCCAGCUAGUGGCACACUUCCAGUCUUUUGAAAUCCAGAGGAUACCACGGUCACAGAACAGGAGAGCUGAUGCCCUCUCCCGGCUCGCUUCUACCUCUUUUUCUGACCUGAACAAAACGGUCAUUGUAGAAGUUUUAGCCGCACCGGGGUACGAAGGGGAAGAGGUGUAUCCCAUCUACCCUGGGGAUACCUGGAUGGGACCGUUAGUUCGAUUCCUCAGCCGAGGUGAACUCCCCGAAGACCGAGCUGAGUCACGCAAACUUCAGCGUAAAGCAUCUCGGUACGCCCUUCAACAGGGCCUCUUGUACAAGAUGUCCUACCUCGGCCCAUGGCUACGAUGUAUCACCCCAGAAGAAGGCGACAGAAUUCUUCAGGACAUUCACGAGGGACUCUGUGGUGCCCACGUCGGUUUCAGGAUGCUCGUGAAAAAGGCUUUGCUGCUUGGAUACUUUUGGCCCACCAUGAGGGUAGAUGCCCAGGUCAUGGUCCUUUGCUGCCCUUCUUGUCAGCACCAUGCCCUGAGCACCAUGCCCCUGAGCACCACCGACCAACCAAUCUUAUGAUUCCUAUCACCUCGCCGUGGCCCUUCGAGCAGUGGGGAACCGACAUAAUCGGCCCAUUUCCAAGGGCUCCAGGUGGUUAUACUUACGUGGUGGUAGCAGUGGACUACUUCACCAAAUGGGUUGAAGCGGAGCCCCUGAGAAGCAUCACCGGAAUGGCCGUUCAAAAAUUUUUCUAGAAAAAUGUGGUUUGUUGUUUCGGCUUGCCCCGGGUGGUCAUCUCGGAUAAUGGCAGACAGUUCGCGGACAAUCCUUUCAAGACGUGGUGUGAACACUUGGGAAUUAAACAGCACUUCACCUCGGUGGACACCCUCAGGCAAAUGGACAAGCUGAAAACUUCAACCGAACUCUCCUCCAUGGCCUCAAGACCAGGCUUUACCGGGCUGGAUCGUCAUGGAUGGAAGAGCUCCCAAGCGUGCUGUGGUCCUACCGAACCACGCGAGCUCAGCGACUCAAGAAACACCGUUCUCUCUAACUUAUGGAUCCGAGGCUGUCGUUCCAGCCGAAUUCAUCACCCCAGCAGCGAAUGGCCGCGUACGCUGCCGAUGUCAAUGAAGAGGAGCGACGGGUUGAUCUCGACCUUGCCGAGGAGAAGCGCGAUAUGGCUGCGGCCAAAGUUGCUAUUUAUAAAAAUAUCCUAGCUGGUUAUUACAAUGCCCGGGUCAAACACCUAAGGUUCAGUCCAGGAGACUUGGUACUCCGGAAGAAUUCGGUUAGCCGAGUUGAACCCCAGGGAAAACUUAACCCCAAGUGGGAGGGACCCUACCGUGUUAUUGAAUCCAGCCAAAAUGGAUAUUGUAAACUGGCUUACCGAGAUGGUUCGCGUGUGCCCCGAACUUGUCAUGCUGAGAACCUUAAGUUGUAUUACCCUUGAAGGGUACGUGUUCUUAAAUUCCACUUCUUUAAGUUAUUUCUCACUCGUUCUUAUUUCAUUACAAGUGACAAAUAAGGGGACAAAGCAGUAGUUAAAAGGAAAAAACUGAACUCAAUCGAAAAGGAGAGAAAAUAUGCAAAACCCAACUUUAUUGAAGCAUGAAAAGCAAAAGGUCGGGGCCAUAAUUACAAAAGUGAAAUGCCGAUGACCUCGGCCAUCUAUUACAAAACAUGAGUGCUUCUAAGCACCUCCUGCCCUGGGGUCCUGUCCCCCAGGGUCUCGCCGCCUGCCUCGGCAUCCUGCUGUCCGGCAUUCUGCUGUUCUUCCUCUCCUCCACCAGCCUGGUCCCCUUCGGCACUGUCACCAUCCACACUCGAACUCCUGGAGCCACUUGUUGAAUUCAGCUCGGACCUCAGCCAGGUCCUUUCCAGUCCGGAUGCCCUCACCCACGCGGUCGCAUAAUUCCUUAGCAUCCUCAUUGUAGUGUGAAGCACUCUGGAAGGACUCCAGCUGCUCAGGGAGAAGAAAGGGUGCCGCAUCAUUAAUGGCCGACGUAUACCCGAACAUGAAGCUCGGCCGAGUGAGUUCACCGAGGUCGCGAAUGAAAGACUCCGACUUCCGGAAUGCUUCCACAGCGGUGGCCCCGGCUGUGUCUAUGGCCACUUUGGAUGAUUGCUCUUCCUGAGCUCUCUUCUCCCUCUCCUCAUCAAGAGCAGUUAUGAGGGAGUUGUUCGAGACCUCAGUCUUCUUCUUCGCCGCCUCAGCCUUGUCACGUGCCAGCUCGGCGGCCUUUAGUUUCCCUUCCAGAUCGGCGAUCUUCUUCUGGAGCUCGGAAGGUGAUUCAUAAGUCUCUACGAAAUCGCCGAAGCGUUGGUACAUCUCGGCAAGAAACGCCGUGGUGGAAGCCCAGGAGACCGAGGCACCCUGCAUCAGUUCGGCCGGAUUGAGUUUUCUAGUGUAAGUGUUGUCCUGUGGCAGGACUGAAUUCACCAGGAGCUCGUGCGCGACCUGGGGAUUCUUGCAGCGGUCAUUGACAUUGACCGACCACUCCGGGCAAAAUUGUGCUCCGGAGUGCCUCUUGUCCUCCCGGCUGCUAGAGAGGGCACGUGGUGGAGGUUCAAUAAUGAGUUCCCCGAGAUAGCGUCACCCUGGACAACGGUCGCACCUCGACCCCGGCCCCGAGGUUGAGAGGCUAUGGUUACUCCAUGGGAUGGAACUCCCACUGGAAUGGACGCUUUGGAUCUUCCCGGCGUGCCCGAGGUAUGCGACCCCUCGCCUAUAAUCACCACGACAGGUUCGCGAGUGCCUGCCGCGGCAGUGGUCUUCUUAGCCGGCCUGGAAGAGGACUCACCGGCGUCCUUGCGCUUUUUUGCUGGCCUCUUUGCCACCUCGACCUCUCCCGAGGUAAUCAGGUCGGAAACCUUCAUUACUGCAAAGUACGAAAUGAAGUUAGUUAGAAUUCAAGGAAAACAAACAAGAAAGUGAGAAGUGGAAAAGUACGAGGUAUGUGAAGCCUAGUGAAGACGAGGACGGGAAAGUCCGAGCUGAUCGAGGCUCGGCUGAGCUCGCCCUUCACGAGCACUCUUUCAGGGAAGUCCCAAUAGUUAAUCUUCAGGCCCGACCCCGUCAAUUUUUGGAAGUUGCGUUCUUCCAAUUUGCCCGGGGAGGUUUUUUUGACCGAAGUGGGAGGUCUCCACCAGAAUCCCCUGGGGAAGUCCUCAGCCGGGACGAAGAAAAAGUUCCUCUUCCACUCCUUUAUUGAGCUCGGGGCAUCAUAUACCAAUCUUGGAACCUUGUUCCCGCAGUAGAACCACCCCUUCUCGCUCCCACUGUUCUUAAGUGAAUAACAACGGCGGAAGAGGUUGACAUUCGGCUCUAUCUCUUGAUGUCGGCAGAGUAGCUGGAAGCCGACGAGGAUGCGAAUUGCAUUUGGAGUGAGCUGAGUAAUCCUCACCCCCCAAUACCUCAGGCAGUGCCUAAGAAACCUCGUAGUUGGCACCAUGAGUCCGGCCUCCAGCUGUUCUAUGUAGAUGGCUACCCUACCCUUUGGAGGCAGGGCGGCGGAUUGAUGUGGGCGCGGAAGGUAGAUACUGUAAUCCCUCCUCCACGGAUACUUGCGGACCACAUCGGCUAUGGAGCUUGGUCCACCGCACUGAUGAAGGCCGGCAUCUGACCAUAGUUUAGCGUGGCCACGUGUGGAGGAGUGGAGGGCUCUUGUACACCCACGUCCAUUGGAACUUCAUUCCCGAGGUGAUCAUUGUACAAGACCUCGGGCUCGACCUCAAUCUCUUCGGCCUGCUCUUCCAAAGACUCAGCUCGGCGGAUGCCUCCGCAUCUCCUCCCCGGGCUCGAUCAGACGCUUCCCCACCUCCUUCCUCGGCGUUAGAGGCCGUUCUCUCCUCGGAAGGGUCGGGCUCUCUGCCUCGGUGAAGUCAGGCCUCACCGUCUCUUUGUGUGUGCGAGCUGUUCUAGCCAUUAAUACAGAAAGAAGAAGUGAACUUACUUAGAAGAUGCGAAGUGAAAAAGUUGCUGAAGAAGAUGUAGGUUGGAAAGAUUGCCGAAGUGAAAAAGCAAAUGGACAGAGCUCUGAGAUGAUUUCAAAUUUUGGUAAAGAAUGGAACGGUGAAAAGAAACCCCUAUUUAUAGGCAACAAGGGGGGAACCGAAGAGAUGCGAUCUUUGGAUUCCCUAAAGCUCUCUCUCUCCCCUCAUUAAUGAAGGUGCUGUUCACCUGACAAUCGAUCGUAUUGAUUCGACGUUAAAGCUGCCAGCCCCCGUUUCACCUUCCCCUAGUCACAUCUACACAGUCGUGACGUGUCCUUGCAUUGUUCCGUGUUCUACACGCGCGUCAGCUUCGGGAAACGACGACCUCGGGAGGCCCCGACCUCGCUCUUCUUGAAGCUUGGGGGCUUAGUGAGGAUGGUCAUUUCGGCUCGAGUGCCUCCCGAAGUGCCACCUCGGCAAGACUUGUUGGUUUGGAACCCACCUCAUUACCACUCCGGCUAAGAUCAUUAGCCGAAGUGAUGCUUGAUUAUUUGAUAACUGCAGAAAGGUACGAUGUGACUCCUGACACAUCUGACACCUGGGAAGGCUGCUCUGAUACGCCGCCUGAACCUGACAGAUGUCCCCUCACAUCUCAUAAAGAUCGUCAAGUCUACCGAUGCACUGACCAUCUCAGAUCUUUAGGGACUCGCCGACAGUCCCUCUCUCCUAUCCUUCCUCUAUAAAUUCUCAACAUUUCUAUUGAGAAAGGGAUGAUGACCAAUUCUCUGGUAACAUACUCCUCCCUUCAAUUAUACUACCUCCUUACAACCGAACUAACUUGAGCUUCGGAGUUAUAUCAGGGGAUUCAGCCCCUCUUAUUACCCAAGCAGGUGACCACGUCCAAGAGAGCUGCCCAAGAUAAAAAUACUUCUCCAGUUUGGGUGACUUACUCCAGCGGGACAGAAAUCACCUCUUCAUGCAUCAAUAGCAACAACUCAGAAAUCAGCCCCAUCACCUCCAACAUUUACGUACGUUUUCCUCAACAUCAAUAUCAACUAAAGAAAUAACCCAAAAAAGAAAGAAAAGCUCACAAAAUCACCCAAAGUACUGAAAAUCGAGUUCUGCAGUUAGGGCGCUCCGGUCGUGAGAUUCUCACGGCUCUAGAAUAACUUGAAGUUCCACUACUACUUACUGUAUACUAGCUAUAUAUUUUUUGUUACACUACUCAUUAGUCACAACAACUGAUGCUGCCCUAAACGUUGAAUCUGGCGGGAUCCAUGAGACUGAAUCCCGAUGUAUUUUGUUAAGGCACGAAUUUAGCAAGUUUCAUUCCGGCUUUUAUCAUUUUGCUAGGACCCAUGAAUAAAGUCCGAUCGAGGCACGCUUCGCUCGUGGUUUCGGGGCUUGAGUGAUGAUAUUUUAUUCUGGCAAAUACGGAUGACACGAUUGGCCUGCAAUUUUGUUUCUAACGACUAAGGUUCAUUCUAGCAAAACCGCAUCAUGAAUCACUAACUUGGAAGGUGCAACUGGGCCGCCACUGUUGUAACCUCAAACUUCAAAAUCUCGGUCCGCCUAAUCAAUUUGAGCACUUGAUGAAACAAACCACCCACCCACCCUCGCUCACCAGUCCAACAAAAAUUAGGGGUAGCAAUUGGAUAAAAAAAGAGUCGGCGGAUCGGAUUGAGACCCGAAUAAAACUAAUAACCUGCUGAUUCGAACACGAUCCACCAACUCUAAACGGGUCAGAUAUCUGACCCGAAUCUAAAAAUUUCGGAUUGGCGGGUCAAUCCAAAUGCCUUGAAAUAUAAUUUCAAUUUUCUAAUUUAGCACUGUGGUUUCUAAUAGAACCAAUUUCGCAUAAGGCUAAUUACAUAAUCAAUUAAUAAAAAUCUCGAUAAAACAAUCCAAAACCAUAUCUGAAAUAAAUUAAAACAUUGUAAAAAUAUUUUAUCCCAAAUCAGAUCUAAAAUAAAUUAAAAUACUAUAAAAAUAGAAAAUAAUGUAAUAUAUCAUUUGUCCAAACAUAGUAAUUUCAAAUUCACACAAGUUAAACAAAUUCAUUUAGGAUUAAGUUGUUAAUGCCUUUGGGGAAAAAAAGAAUAACUUAGUUUAGUUAAAUAAAAUAUUUUUAUAAUUUUUAAAUUAUUUUUAAUUCAUAAGCGGAUUAUCAGGUCAACCCGUGGGUGACAUAAAUUCGACCUUUUUUUUUCGGGUUCAUCAGGUUCGAUCCGAUUUUGACCCGAACCCGCGAAAUCUCAACCAAAAUUCAUUAAUUUCGUGUUAAAUUCGUGUCGUGUCGAAAAAUUACCACCCCUGACAAAAACCAAGAAAGCCAUUCCACAUAACAACUAUUUUUUGAACUGAACAUUUUAGUAUAAAAGCAUAAGGGUGAAAAAAAAACUUCCUGUAGUAAACCUAAUGUACAAAAAAGUCCCCUGUGGUUUUAAAACGUACAAUAUAACACCUCAUGCUUUGAACUAAAUUGUAAAUGUGACGGAAUUCGUUAAAUUUAACGGAAAUAGACGAAAUGACCAAAAUGCCGUGAUGUAAUUAAGCAAAAGACAGCUCAAAAAAUCAUUUAUUUUAUUCAUUAGAUAGAGAGAAUUGAGGAUUAAGGGGUAGAAUAGGUAUAUUGGUUACAAAUUAAGUAUAAAUUUUUUUUUGUUCCAAUAAGUCAUUUCCGUUAAAUUUAACGGAUUCCGUUAUCUUUACAAUUUAGUUCAAAGUAUGAAGUGUCAUGUUGUACGUUUUGAAACCAUGGAGGAUUUUUCUGUAUAUUAGAUUUACCACAGGGAAUUUUUUUUUAUUUUUUACCCGUAUACAUAACGAAUUGUCUUUUCAACUAAUUAGUGCACCACCCAAUUUUUUGACUAUAAAUGCUCAAAAAUAGAUCCAUAGUCAUCUGACUAAUAUCUUUAUCCACGUUAAAUUUUAUUUUCUUUUCAAAUACAGGCAAAUUUGAGUAGUAUUGGGAAUACUUUAUUUUUAUUAAUUUUUCUGGCAAAGAGGAGUGAAAUUUAAUAAAUGAAAAGAGAGAAGAGAAAUUGAAAUUUAAGACCCCUAAAUCCUCAGACCUCAUCAAGUUAAGAUUGUUUUCUUAGUAGUCAAAGAAAUCGAAUCAACAACUUUACAUGUUUCUUAAUCGACAUUAAAACAAAAACUGCAUUAGAUUAUUGUCACACUUGUAUCUAUACUAUUUGAGGCCACAUAAAUAUAAUAUAGUCAUCUUUUCUUUUGUUUUUUUUUUGGGGCCAACACAGUAUGUGAAAUAUCAAGAUUCAAAAGAAUCCAUUCUUAUGCAUUCAAAAGAAUCAUUUUUUUUUUUUUGCUUUUUGUUAUUAAAUUCGGAAGUAAAUACCACAGGAACAUUACUCUCAUCUCAGUCGACUUGAGAAGUAAAUUUUAUUAUGAUAAUAAGAUAAUCUUUAAGAGUAUCGGAUAAUUAACAUACUGAGAAAAAUCGUUGGUUGGGAUGUGAGUUUAAAUGAUUUACUAGUAAUUGUUUGGUUAUGAUGACAUACUGAUAUAAUGAUAGUUGUGAGUUGUAACGUUUAAAAACUUCAAGAGCACCUGCGGUCACUUGCAUCGCACGUGACCUUCGCCUCAUUUGAAUUUCGGACUCCAGCGCCUUUUCUUCAAUUCACUUUUUUAAAGUUUGGAGUUCGCCCUUUCCUUUUGUUUUCUUCUCUGUCCACCGUCCCUCCCAAUUCCCCGUUCAAAAUCAAUCCAACCCUCAACGGUCACCCCUCCCAUCCUCCUCCGUCCCAACCCCUCAUUCCCACCUCUUUCUCCCCUCAGGUACAGUUCAAACUAUUCAACUACAUUUUUCACUCGUCACUAUACAUUUUGGUUGAUUUAUAGAAUAAUGUGGUUAAUGAGAUCUCGAAGGUCAAGAUUAAAAUGAUGGCCUUAGAGUUGGAUUUUUGAUUGUGUGUGCAGGCUCAAUUGAAUCUAGCUAGGGUUUCUGUUGCUUACUUCUUUUCUUCUUUCCUGUCGUAGUGAUUCAAAAUUUCAAAUUGCAUUGAGUGGAGAUGGACAGUUCUGAAGUUAAAGACACAUCUCAGUGUGUGAGGGUUGCAGUCAAUGUUCGGCCGCUUGUCACUCAUGAGCUUGUUGCUGGAUGCACUGAUUGCAUCACCGUUGUCCCUGGAGAACCACAGGUACUUGGGAUGAGUAUUCUUUUGUUUAAUACUUGGAAACUAUAUAAUUAUUACUAUUAUUUUUUAAAAAACAUGUGCUCUUUUGAUUGAGAAUUUUUUUUAAUUGUGUGUUUUUGGUCGCGAAUUUUUAGUGGAGUAUUGAGAUUUAGGUGCAAAUUGGGAGUUAUUGAGGUGUUUGUAUGCUCAAACAGGUUCAAAUUGGAUCACAUGCCUUCACAUUUGAUUAUGUGUUUGGGAGUGCUGGGUUAUCAUCUUCACGGAUAUUUGAUGAGUGUGUGGCUCCAUUAGUUGAUGCACUCUUCCACGGCUACAAUGGUACUGUUCUUGCGUAUGGACAGGUAUGGAACCUGUUUCUGAUAUUAAAUUAUUUUCUGCAACUUAAAGUCCUUUUUUUGUGUUUCCUUACCUUGUUCAAAAUUUGUUUCAUGUGAAAGACUGGCUCUGGAAAAACAUACACUAUGGGAACUAACUAUAAUGGAGAAGACCAUAAAGGAGGAGUUAUUCCUAAAGUAAUGGAAACCAUAUUUUCACGAGUAGAGGCUUUCAAAGCCUCUACAGAGUUUCUUAUAAGAGUAUCUUUUAUUGAGGUAUGGUAAUUUGGUUUUUCGGUGUAUUAUUACUAAAGUCUCAUAGUUCAUGUAUUGACCGCCUAAUUUGGUAUCAUGUUAUUUAUUUUAUGAUUUGCAGAUUUUUAAGGAAGAGGUAUUUGAUUUACUAGAUCCAAACCCCCUGCUAUUGCAAAAGGUGAUGGGGCAUCUAUAGCAAAACCUGGCCCAGCAAGAGCUCCCAUUCAAAUUAGAGAAACUGUCAAUGGUGGGAUCACACUUGCCGGUGUUACAGAGGCAGAGGUUAGGACAAAAGAAGAGAUGGCAUCAUACCUCUUGCGUGGUUCAGUAUCUCGUGCUACGGGGAGCACUAACAUGAAUAGUCAAUCAAGGUGUGUGCAUUGUUUUAGUGUUAUUGAUAAAAUCUACCUGUAUGUCUGUAACUUCUUAGAUUUUUGUGCAUUGUCUAUGAUGUUGACUAACGUAGUUAAUUUUAUAUGGAGGUGCUGAUUUAUGUCUUCAGUUACAUGAUGAUUCUUGUGUGCUCUUUACUGUGUGAGUCAUUCUUUUUUGUAAAGAGAGCAGAUACCAAAAUUACUCAGAAUUAUGGAUCCUCUAAAUCAUGUUAUCUUGUGCUACUCUCUCUCUCUCUAUCACUUCUCUGCUUAAAUUACUUUUUUCAAUCUCCUUCAAAAGCGUUAGGGCAUAAACCUGUAUAUAAUGUGGAUUAACUCUGCAAAACUAGCAUUAGUUAAACAUUUAUGCUUGAGGGAUAGAGAUUUUGUAGUUUCAGGUUUUGCUUGAAAGCAAAAAUUGCUUGUGAAGAUGCCAAUAAUGAGCUGGUCAAUCAACAUCAUCCCCUUCUUUUCUCUUCUGCCUCCCCUUUUUUCUGUUGUAAUGUUUCUGUGUCAAGAAUUUACUGAUAUUUCUCUGGAUGUCCCUGGGUUCAGAAUAUAUAUGACAAUUGGAGUUACUUAAACAAAGGUGUUAAUGGUGUCUUCAAGUUACUACAGUCAUAUGGCGCUUACAGUAGCUCUAACUCUUAAAAUGAAACUCAAUGUAUGCUAGUUGGGUGCUGCCUUUGAUUGAAGGAUACGUAGUGUAAGAGUUAGUUUCUAAUGACAAUUAGCUUGUUGCAGCUGAGAAAUUAAAUCAGAUCAUCACAAUCUUCUGAAAAAAUGUAAUAACUUCUCGUUUCUUCAUUGUAGCCUGCACUUGUUUUAGGAGAAGUAAUUUUUCUAUUGUUUUUUACCUGUUUAAUUUCUUCUUUAUCACAGUAAAUGUAUCGGUCUAGCUGACAGAGUUGUGUUAACAAGAAGUCUCAUUAAUCUUGGAGCAUGUUUCCAAUCUUAAUACGAAUUGUCAGUGCUCUCUUAUUAGCACCCUAGUGAAAUCUGUAGAGAGCACUCUAGAUAGGUUGCAUACCUUGAAGAAACCAGCAGAUUUAGCUGUUUUCUUGGCCUUUCUUUUAACUUACUCUUUCAGUCAUUACAAUGAGAAUUUUUUAAUGUUAGUGUUAUAUGAUUUUCAGUCGUUCGCAUGCAAUUUUCACAAUAUCAAUGGAACAAAAAAGAACAAGCAGUUGCUCUAGUGGAGACAUACAUGAUGAAUUUAGUGACGAAAUCUUGGGUGCUAAGCUUCACUUGGUGGACCUAGCAGGUUCUGAAAGAGCAAAGCGAACCGGAGCAGAUGGGAUGCGUUUGAAAGAAGGUGGAACUAUCCUUGAUAACUGAAAUAUAUACUCUGGCUACUGGACCUGCUUGAUGAUGCUUUUUUUCUUUAUUGUUUUUGCUACUUCUCAUUUAUUUGGCAUUCUUUUUAAUUGAAAAUAUGGAUUAGGCAUUCAUAUCAACAAAGGGUUGCUGGCUCUUGGCAAUGUGAUUAGUGCUUUGGGUGAUGACAAGAAACGGAAAGAAGGUGGUCAUGUUCCUUAUCGAGAUAGCAAAUUAACUCGGCUGUUGCAGGCAAGAGAUGUUUCUUUCUUUGCUUCCUUAUUCAUCCUUCCCAAGUUUCUAAACAACCAUAUAUUAUAAUAUGGUGUUCAUAUGUUAGUAUUUCUUACAUUUCCGUCUACUUUUCAACCUUAGUCAUAAUCUUUCUUACGAACAAAAUUUUUUCUAUUGCUUUAUAUGGCAUUGUGUUAGGACCAUGCAGUUAACAAGUAAAAGUACAUAUCAGAAUGAACUCUACGCGUAUUGAAUGCAAACAUAAAAAUCAGCUUAUUUCAAAGUAGUAAUCUGUUCUUGAAUCUUCAUUCUCAUUUUCCUUUUUCCUUUCCAAUCAGAAGACAUGAUCUUUCUGGUUUUUGUUCUCUGUAAGUUGUUUAUAUUGUUUGAACUUUUCUAGAGUGGUGGCUCCUAUUGAUGCUCAGUUCUAUUGACAAUUUUCUCUCAUAAGGAUUGCAUUGCAUGCCUCCAUAAAUACCAUGUGUCCUAACUAAUCCUGAUUGUGCUUUCAUUUUUUUAACAUGAUUCACUAUAUUUGUGGUUGUCCUGUCUGGCCAGCUUGAUUUUCCUUGCGUGUCCUUGAUGUUAUAUGUAAUUUAAGCAAAUCUACCAUUGCUAACCUUGGGAAUAUUCUGUUUCAGGAUUCUCUUGGAGGGAACAGCAAAACAGUAAUGAUUGGUAAACUUUUAAUUUCGUUUGCCAAGAUGCUUUAUAUCUGUCCUCAGGAACAUGAUAUGCUGUUUUAUUAUAUGAUUUUGCUGGGCAUUUCAUCAUUUCUUUAAUUAAUGUCACUUAACUCUUCUAUCUUUUGCAUUUAUGUGGUAGCUUGCAUCAGUCCAGCAGAUACAAAUGCAGAGGAGACACUAAACACUCUGAAGUAUGCAAAUCGUGCUCGUAAUAUUCAAAAUAAAGCAAUUGUAAGUUUAAUAUUGUUAAGAAAAAUCAUAUUUUUUUUAAUUCAAUCAGUAUACUCACCUACUUUUAAUUUCUAGAUCAACCGUGAUCCAUGGCAACUCAGAUGCAAAGAAUGAAAAAUCAAUUGAACAGUUGCAAGCUGAGCUUCUUUUCUUUCGUGGAGACUGCACUGUUCCUUUUGAGGAACUUCAGGUUUCAUUUUUCCUCAUAAGUGUCAGUCUGUCAGUUUCUUAGUUGCUGUGAUUGGGAGGAUGAUUAAAAUGAUUAUCAUUGUGUUGGGUUGUGCAUAUAGAUUUGAGGUGGUUACUUCUUAGCUAAUACAAGAGGCUGUAUUAUCCUUUUAAUUAAUAACCUCUGUCCAUAAGUGUGUCUCGGUUAGAAAUUGACUUGUUCCUUCUGCCCUACAGAUUCUUAAGCAUAAAAUUUCUUUGCUUGAAGCAAGCAAUGCACAACUACAGCAGGAGCUUCAAGAACGUCGAAUUACUUGUGAUCAUUUGACACAACGAGCCCUAGAUGCUCAGGUAGUUUUAUUUGUGUAAUUGCCAAUGUUAAAAUGAUCUAUUUACGGCAUCCAAGUUAGAUGCAUUUUUGAAGCCGCUUACAUCAAAAUAAUGUAUUAGGUGGAGAGGAUAGGCUUGUCAUGAAGAUUGAAUCAGCUCGAAGUCAAAAAUCGUGGAAUGAAAUAGAUUCUGAUUCUAAUCAGGUAGAUAGGAUUCCUGAUCAAUUUGCCAUGUAGUUUGGGAAACUUGGCUAAUAUAAAUUUUCAAAUUUCCUACAGGAUUUUGAUUUGUUAAAAGGAUAUGUAUCCAAGAUACAAGAAUUGGAAGGAGAAUUAUUGCGGCUCCAAAGUGCUAACCAUUUAAGGCAGAAUGAUUUUGUUGACUACGUUAGUUUGGAUGAUAGCGGGCUUCAUUCAAAAGAUAACUGUUUUGCAGAGUCCGAAACAAAAGCUGAUAAUUUAAGUGGUGAGCUACCAUAAGCUGUUCCAUGAUAAUUAUGUACACUCUUGUUUCUGUGUUUGUUCAGGUGGCUGCUAUGCGGUGGAUGUUUCUUGUUGUGGCUUUCUAGUAUUUUAUGUUGCGCAUUAUCAUUGACUCUGCUUGACAAGAGGAUUAUGUUGCAACAACUUGUACCUGAAUGGUCGUGAUUUAUGUUUGGAAUUUGACCAAGUUGAUUUCAAGUUGCUGGUAGAAUAAUGUUCUUUCAUAUUUGUUAGGUGUGUUUGAGGAUGAGCAGAAAGAGCGAGAACAUUCUUCUCUUCAAGAAAAAUUGGACAUGGAGCUCAAAGAAUUGGACAAAAGACUUGAACAGAAGGAGGUAUGUGGUAUCUCUUCAAGUAAUUAUAUUGGUUGGCUUAAAUCUAGAAGCAAUUGUUACCUUGUAACUUCUGAUUUCACCUUGACCUAUUAUAUCUGUUUAUAGGCUGAGAUGAAGCGGUUUGCAAAUCCUGAUACCUCAACUCUUAAGCAACAUUAUGAUAAAAAAAUUCAGGAGUUAGAACUCGAAAAGAGAUCCUGCAGGUAUGUCUUUGAGUAUGAUGAUUUUAGUUGAUAAUUUCUUUGUUUCUGAGCUAAUUUUCCAUUGCAGAAAGAGAUCGAGGAACUUAGACAUAAUCUUGCAAAUAUAUCAUCUACUACUGAUGAUAGUGCUCAGAAGCUGAAGGAAGAUUAUCUUCAAAAGUUAAAUGUCCUUGAAGCUCAGGUAUUCCUUCAACUGUUUUUUCCCCCACCAAACUUUAUGUCUGGAUAAUAAUUUCGGCCUCUGCAGGUUGUCGAGUUGAAGAAGAAGCAAGAUGCUCAAGCCCAGCUUUUGAGACAAAAGCAAAAGAGCGAUGAGGCUGCAAAACGACUACAGGAUGAGAUACAGAGGAUAAAAACACAGAAGGUACAGGGUCUUGGUAUUUGAUACUUGUUUAGAUAUAGAGAAUCCCUUGCUUCUUCUAAUGGCAUUCUAUUGUCUAAAAGGUUCAAUUGCAACAAAAGAUAAAGCAAGAAUCUGAGCAAUUCAGGUUAUGGAAAGCAUCACGUGAAAAAGAGGUCCUUCAGGUACUACAGUUUUUUCACUAUUCCAUUUGGCUUCUUCUUUUACUACAGAUUUUUACCAGAAGAUGGAACACCAAACUUAAAUAGUGAAAUUAUGAGUAUUAGGCUCUAGUGGUGCCCUGGUGCUAUCUCAUUGACUCGUGUUACUUUUGUAUGGAUAGCAAGUUGUUAAGUGUGGUAAUGUUGCUCAUAUUUUGCAUAAGCUCUGAAAUAAUGGUAAAUGGGAAUCUUUGAGCCACAAGACAACAUGUACUUUUUUGAUUGAAAGAUAAGAGUCUGCGAGGGACAAGAAGGCAUUCAAGAUCCAAGUAGUAGAAUUGCAAGUACAUAAACAAGUCAUUUUAAUGGUACUGAAGUAACAGGCACUAACAAAAGUUUCUUUAUACUGGCAAGAUUUUUGUCCUAUUUAACUACAGACUCUAGAUGGAAUCUUACAUUGGAUGAACCUUAAAGGUAGCAAGUAGGUUCUAUUAACGAUUUAUCGAGAACCUGUUUCCACUAAGGGAGUUCUCAGCUUUAGCUUGCUUCCUGGAUGUGUAGUUUAUGUCAUGUUUUUAGAUGUUGGCAGACAGAGUACAAUGUGGAAGUAACUACACGUGAUGUCAGCCUUUGUAAAUAAACAAUUGAUUCAAAAAUCAACAAACAUGUAUUAACAUUUUUAGUUAGUGCGUUGCUUUUCUAAAUUGGAAUCAUGCUCCAUUUCCAGAAUGUAAGCCAGUACUUCCUGCUAUUGAGAGUUAAGACUUCGGUAUUAGCCUGUAGCAAAUAUAUUUUUUGUCGGUCCCACCACCCCCAGCCCACCUCCCUUUUAGUUUUCUCUGUUAAGGCAAUUAGUGCUUUGCAAUGAAGGAAGCAUUAUAAUUUCCUUAUUCGUAUACAAUGUGCUCCUGUAGUAUGAACUAAUUUUCUAAGUCUAUUCCAAACAUAUAUGCCAUGGUUCCUUACUUCGACAGGGUACAAAUAUCUAAAUUUGAUAUUUUUAGAUACUUUUUCAGACCUAUUGCCGAUACUAAGUAGCAGUCAAAAAUUGGUAUCCAUAGUUUGCUUCGUCUCUUCUCUCCCAUCAGUUGCUUCGUCUCUUCUCUCCCAGCAGGAAAACAGGCAUCAUCACCUUUUUUUUUUUUUUUUUUUUUUUUUCUUUCUUCUUCUCUGUUUCGCUUUCGUCAUCGUUUGGUUGUGAUGACUGUUGACCGAGCCCUUAUUCUCUUGACUAGAUGAAAGGUCGAGAAUGGAAUGGUGCUUAACAGCCUCUUCCUAAACUAUAGCCAACAAGAUUCAAGAAAACUGUAACUCCUUCAUGAGCAUAGUAGCAUUGUAAUAGCAUUGUACGACGUGUGAAUAUUUUUCCAUGCUGCUCCUCUUUUGCUGUACUUAUUCGAGUUACUUUUUAGUCCCUAAAGUGUUAGGAAAAAUGGUAGUAUAGUUUGCAACAUUUGGGGCCAAUUAACAUCUUGAGACCCGCAAUCACUUUAUCUUAGUCUCUUUUGAUGAAAAUUUGAAGAACGUUUUCUUAUUAAACUUUUUUUAAGAGAAUCAAUAGUGAUUGUCUACUUAUGCCUUUCGACAUUUUGAACUCGUGAUCUAUCGGUUAUAGAUGAAACGUCUUAUCACCUAGACUGCGCUUCAUUGUCAAAUUUGAAGAAAGCUUUGAAAACAAAAAGAAAAAAAAAAGAUUAAGGAUUUUAACAAAGCAGAGGUGGAAAAAAAAAAAAACUGCACGCGACAUUACUAGCUUCAACACUUUUCUCUUCCCAUAUCAAAAAAGGCAUUCAUUGUUACUAUUCAGUGGGACAUUGGCUCAGCAAGAGAAUUUGGCACCUCCUGCAGCACAUUUUCAUGCAGCCACAUAAAAACAAAGCAUACCAGCUGAAUGAUCAGCGUAGACCAAUCACAUUCUCUGAACGAUUCAGAUAUUCAAGAUACACAACCAAAAAAAAAGGUGGGGAAGGGUAUAAUUUCAUAUUCCUUUCACAAAAAAAAAGAAAGAAGCAUACCGUCCAAAUUAUCAGUAGCUCAAUCACAUCCUCUGGACAUGUUCAAAAGAAAAAGGUACAGCUUCACAUGCUUCUUCCAGCAUAUGCGUCGUGCUCUGAUAAGCAUCUUUGCAAUGUACACAGUUUUAGGUUACAACACAAAUAUAAGAGUUCCACAUUGACAAGUUUACGAGUCAGCCUGCAGAAAAAUGUCACGUUGAGUUUUAGUUUCUCAAUUAACAAUAAGACCAUCAAUACAGAUGUCUUGUUGCAGUUGCUGACUAGUUUACAAGGUGAAAUUUCUCUAGCCACUCUGCAAAAUCCCCAAAAUUUAGGCAUAAGCUACAUAACUUCCACCACCCCUUUGUCAGUAAGAAAUGCCGAAUAGACAAUUUCAGCUAUAUUGCUGAAUAAAGCACCAUGACAAUGGACCAAAAUGUCGUUAUUUUAUCCUCCCAGUUGCAAAACCCGCGCAUAGUUAUUAAAGCAGAAGUCUGUUCAGACCCCUGCACCAGUUCUCAUGAAUGGAGAUGCAGCAGGAGGGAUCAAACCAAGAGCUCGCAUUAUUUUCAGUCUGCGUAAACUCGGAUCUCUAGAUUUUUCUACCAAGGAUGGCAACUGCUAGUAGCAUAAUAAAAAGCUAAGUCAACAAAUGCUGCCCAGGAGAUGAAGGAUGCAGAAUGCUCAAAAGAAAGCAAAGAUAAAAUUGACCCACAACUUCAUGUUUAGUUGCUUUUGCAUUCUUCUGCUUCCCCGCUUCCAUCUGUGUUUGAUGAAUCUUAAAAGAAUGUGCAUGAUUCAACAAGAUACAAACUAUUUGAUGAGAAAAAGAAAAACAAUGAGUUAAAAAAUAACUAGAGACAACAAGGACUAGCACACGCUCACAGAACUCAGCCUGGGUGUCUUUAGGGUUGCAUUCUGUGUCUGAUCUUUACUUCUUGAUGGUUCGGCUCUCACUGAAAGUGAAUCAUGAUUUUUUUCCCUGGCCUCUGCAUUCUGAACGAAAAUAAUCCUAAAACUAUAAAUUUUGUCUCAUGAAGCACAAAAACAAGAUCCAGUACGAAAGUGCAAGUAUGAAUUGUAAUCUGCUCACAGAAUUUGGGCUCUUUGGUUUAAGUUUUUCAUGACUACCACUUUCCGUUUCCUCCUCCUCCUUUCCUUGCUCAGACUUUGAAGUCGUCUUGCCCUUUUUAACUGAAUUCUGUGCAGCAGUACCAUUUGAAGGCUUCUUUUUUGAGGUUUUUACCUGAUAUAAUGUUCAAUUAAAGGAAACCAAAAACCCCAGAACAAAAAUGCAAGCCUUGCAAAGAGGAAAUUAAGGUAUGUAAGACCAGAAAAGAUGUUUACUCACAGAUACUGAAGUGGCUUUUGGUUUCUUGGGCUUUAUAUUAGGCUUUGGUUUUCUGCUUUCUGCACUCUUACUUUUUGAUAGUAAUUGUACUAGGGAGAUAUUCCCCUAAGAUCCCAAAAUUGUUUCAACAAUAUGAUAGGAAGACAAUUAAGAUUCAUCCUUAAAUGGAACCUAGAAUUGCAAAUUACUCACAGAGUUCUUCACUGGCUCCAAUUUGAUCUCUUUUCUGCGCUUUGCUUCUGGAGUUGGCUGCAUUUAUCAUACAAAUGCAAAGAAGAAAAUGAAAAGCUCAACAAGUCAAACAUGAGAAAAUGCAAAUGAAGAAGGGAAGGAGCCUGUAAUCACAGAAAUUAUGCUAUUUGACUUGGGUUUCUUCUGCUCAUCUUCUUUUUUCCUUUUCCGGCUUUUCUCUUCUUUGCUCCUGACUGAAUCCAAAUUUAUUUCCUUCGACUUUUUUGUCAUUAACUUGGUAUUUAGCUUUUCCAAAUUUGAUUUUACCUGAUACACAAAAUUGCAGAUGCACAUGAAUUAAAACAUAUAGAUAAUGAUCCAAUCAAACAGGCCCAUUAAGAGGCUCAGACCAUAAAAAGCUCAAGAAGCUACGGAGUAAAUAAAACAAAGCACAGAUUUCCAUUCUAAUGCAUUUCUUGAGGACUGCAUUACUUUGCUUUUCUUCAGAAGUGUCAGUAUGAAUUCCAAACAUUACUAUAAACCUUCAACAAUUUAGACUCCCUGAGCACUCACAGUUGGGUGGUGAUAUUGCAAUGAAGGAAGAAUGUGUUCAUUUUCCCCUUGAUUUUACCAGACGAAAAAGAAGACAAGACAAACUUACAGAUGAAAGGGAUUUGAUAUUCUCGCCUUUGUCAAUUUUAGUUUGCUUUUCCAUUUUAUUUUGAGAUGCCUCAGCCACAACUGUUCCUGCUCAAACAACCAUGCAACUGUGAAAAGUAAGAUAAAUAACUGAGUACUUUGAAUUAUGACUAACACUUUCAAUAACUACCAUCUUGUGAGUUUCUUAAGUGCAACUUUUUAAUACCUCAUAAACCUAUUACCUUCACAAAUAACAUAAGCAUCAGUAUUAACGAGAUUGGGGCGCAGAGACGAGCAAAAAGCUUCAAAUGUUUCUUCCUUCAUAAUGAUUAAUCACAAAUUAAGUAAAGAAAAGACAGCAAAUCAGAAAGAGAAUAAGAGAAGUCAAGCUGUGUCAAAAACUUUUUGAUGCCCCAAAGUAGGAAGUGCGUAACAUAAAAUUCAACAAAGUUUGGUCAUGUAGUUAAGAAAAGAGAGAGAGACUAGAAAGAGGGUAAGAGAACUGGUAAGCUAAGUCAAAAUCCUUGUGACAUACCAAAAGGCUAGUACGCCCCAUAAAAUGGAACGAACAAAAAUGAAAACUUCAAUAAACAUUAUUUUGAUAGAAAACUAGAAGGAAGCUACCUCUCUCUUGAAUUAAAUAGUUUCUCAUAUUACUCAUGUAAAAAAGCAAAAAAACAAAAAAAAAAAGGGAGCAUAAAAUGGUAUACAAAAUCAAAAGAUGGGCUAACCUUUUGUUUUUUGCUUACAUGAACCUGAUUUGGAGCGCUGGAGUUCCUACAGUUCAAAUCCAUUAUUGGUAAGAUACAUUCAAAAGGAUCAUUUAAUUUUCUGGCCUAUAAUGAAGCAUAAAGCACCUAUGCAUUGCCUUCUGCAUAUGAAUUUGACAAGAAAGAAUUACCUGCUUCAUAGCUUCACUCAGAAUAGCACACUAUGACAACUCGUGUAUCCCUUGCAUCUUAUCAUUGAAAGGUAUAGACAACAUAACUGUUCAGAACACUGUUAAAGGGUGCAUGGACAAAUUUAAAUGCUCAAACUCCAAGCCAAGUUGAAUAGGAUCUUACAAAAAGAUGCAGGAAGAGGAAACUGCUGCCACAACUUCAAAAUUAACAAAUUAGUGCAGAGACCAAACAACCAAGCAGCAAAGGGCCAGUUCCAACUUGUAGUGUCCUUACAGUGGAAUGAGAUCUCCACCUGUUUUUCUCCACUUCCCUUUACAUCUUCCACUUACAGUGCCUUCAUCAACCUACCAUCAAAUGAAGUAAAAAUAUGACUCACUUUUGUUCUUUGCAAGAUACAGAAUGUACUAAUUUCACUGGCAGUAACAUUUAUUUGUGAAAUGCAGGAGAACUAAGGUUUUUUUGUAAUAAGAAUAUGGAGCUGAACCAACAAAAUCGCCAGAAUGAUAACUCUUGCGAGAUUUGAAAAACAGUAGUCGCUCUCUCAUCUAUUUUUCCAACAGAAAAUCUGUUACUUGCCCUUAGUUUAUCUUAGCGUCUGCAACUGAAUGAUCAAUUUUGCAUUCAUGCACAUUGCUAUAUGGAGUUGCACGUUAUCAGAUCAACAAUAGACAUCACACUGCAAGAAAAUUUACUGACAUCUAGGUUUUUCAAGUAUUUGAUCGUACUUAAAGCAAUUCAAGCUGUACAGAGCAAUAAUAGGUCAUACUAGAUAUCAACAGACUGCAUUAUGCAAUAUAAGGAAACUGAAUGUAUCUUAUAUCUUCCCUUUCAAUAUACAAAAGCGGCUAAUCAUUAUCAUCCAUAUAUCUACAUUAAAUAGCAUUUAAGAGUGCAUUAUUUUGAAACACAAAUGCAUUGAAAAAUAUACCCCUACCGUCAAUCACAUCCACAUGACAGAAUGGCUGCCCAUGCAACACUAUAGCUUCAAGCAUUUCAACCACUCACAUCCUCAAAGAACCGCUGCAUAAAGUAAAGAUCUUUGUUGCACAUGCUCAGUGCAGGUCUUCAGGAUGAGAAUGCCUAAUGGUUCUAGGUAUCAAGUUCUACAAUUUCCUCAAAUCUAGGAUAUUGAGAUGCCAAGACUAUCAGAGAUGUCUAGAGGUAAAGGCAAUUUUCAAACUCCGAAGCAUGAAAACUUUACUCUACAUUAGGUACAUCCAGUUGUUGGAACUAGCAUGAAAUGGACAGAUAUCAAUAUCAAGGUCUGCUGGAAAGCUGCAAAUUCUCAACAAUUAAAACAAAAAAAGGCAAAAAAGACAUUGUCAUGUUAGAGCAGUUGAAUGCCCCUGCAUAACUACGAACAUAUACCAAUGGUCCAGCAUUGCACUUCAGUAACAAUCAAAGAUCAAAAAUCUAGUAGGACCACAAAUUGUAGCUAAAUUAUUACAAGGCAAUAAAAUCAUUUCCGCUGCAGCUCAAGGGUUAAUACUUUUAGUUAACAACAUCAGCUGUGAAUUGUCAGAAAUUGAAAGUCAGCAGUUAAUUUAACACAGGAGAUGCUCCAAUUAACAGCACUGAGAGACCACAUUUUAGCCCAGAGCGUUCAUAUCGACACAAUCGCAAAAAAUAGGGGAUUAAACCCAGUGGUAACCAAGCAGUAUUGGCUUUCAUCGAUCUUAAAUUAAUCAAACUACAACCAAAAUCAAAAGAAAUGAACCAAGAAACAAGAAAAACAUUCAAGAAAUCCUCCUGCCCCUUCUAAUUUCCCCAGUCCCCAAGUCCCAUUUCCAAAUAAUAACUAUGAAUAUUGGAAAGAAAAAGGAUAAAUUAACUUACGUGUAGAAGUGAAAAGAGUCCAGAAAAACUUCAGAUGUUAGCUGUCAAAAAACUCAAAACUCUUUCCGUAUAAUCUGCACUUCUUGUUGGAGAGUGGAGACAAUGGGGAGUGAAACAAAUGUGGCCAAUUUACAACAGCACUUGCGCAGAAAUGAGAGUUCCCAGACCUUGGACGACUUUUUCCCUUCAAUGUCUCCCAGGUCCUAAUAACGAAACCAAAGCCAAAAGGAAAACAAGAAGGGAUAAAGAGUUAAUUACAAAGUACCCCCUCAAAAAACCACAUGCCUUGCCUUGCUUGUUAUUCACAUGGAUGAUGGAACAAAUCAAUUCUCUCAGCUUUUUAUGGUUUCCCAUUGCCGAGCGCUCCUAAAUUGCCUUCCAGUAUGAUGAUUUUGUAACGGGAGAUGCAUGUAUAUUUAUUAUUGUGAUGAAACGACAGCUUUUUUUUUCGGGUCUAAAUGGGUAUCCAAAAUUACCCAGACUAAUCCCUUAGUUGGGCAGAGUUUCGCCCCAAAUAUGCCCAGCAACAAUAGCACAUGGGGAUCGAAUCUGAGACCUUACUGUAAUUAUAAAUGAUCAAUCCCAACCGAGCUACCCACGGGAGCACGAUAAAACGAGCUUGUCAUAAAAUUCAUUAUUUGUGACCUAGAGUUGGAAAAUGUACACUUGAAAAUUAUUAUUAAGUCUAUUAUUUGUUCUUUUUCAACUUCAUGUUUAAAAAUGGUGAACACAUAUUUGUGGGUAAAUGUUGAUUUCCUUUGCCGAAGAAUCUCCAAUUUUAUUGUUCUAUGCAAGAUGUACAUGUAACGUAAUAAAGUUGUAACUAGGGCUGUGCAUCGAAAUCGAAAUCGGUAAAUCGGAAGUUUGAAAUUGGAAUUUUUUGAAAUUUUGACAUGAAUUUUUCCGACCGAAUUCGAUUUCGAAAUGGCCAAUUCCGAUUUCGAAUUCGAUACCCGAAUUUCGAAUUCACCGAAUUCAAACCUACUCUACUCUUAGUCUACUGCACUUCCUCCCUUCUCGGUCUAUUGCUAUUCUACUUCACUCUCACCGACCACUGCAAACUCCUGCCAGUCUAAGUCUACUCCGUUUUCUCCAACUUUCUCUACGCUACUUGUGAUUUAGUAAGUAGUACAAACUGCAAAGAGAAACGACCAAUGGAAGGAGGGUUGGAGCUGAGUAAAGUGACGCUGGAAAUCUUCUCCAAGCUCGAGCAACAGUGGUUGCAUCACUGCCAACCCCCCAAGAAGACUCACAUUCUCAGUAUCGACGGCGGCAGAGUCGGCUCCCCCUCUGCCAUCUUCGCCGCUCAUUCCUUGAUCCUUCUCGAAGACCAGAUCCAUGCCAAAUCCGCUGAUUCCCAAUCUCGCAUUGCCGAUUUCCUCAAUCUUAUCACCGACACUGGCAUUGGAGCUCUUUACGCUGCAAUGCUUGCCGCCGACGACGGUUAUGGACGUCCUUUGUUCACCGCCAGGGAUGCCGUCAACUUCAUCGCCCAAAACUAGUCCCGGCUCUUUAAAGUCAAGGGCACCCUCACCCUUUCAAGCUUGCUUUUGGUUACCGAUCCGAUCGCAAGUAAAUGAGAUACUCUAAAUAUACCAACCCUGUCCUCUGUUCUGGGUGUAGUCUAUCGCCCUUUCGGCCCACUGAGUAGGCCUUUUUCUUUCAAUACGACGGCCUCAGCUUAUUCUUUUAGACUCGUCCCACGAAGCGGUUUGGAACUCGUUUCGUAUGCGGUAUCACCUCUUUUAGUUGAUUGUCCCGGCGAACCUGAGUAUGCCUCCUUUCCGCCAGCCUAGGCUUCGGAAUUCUCGCCGACAAAGGUUCUCUGGCAGGAGCAUGGAUGUGGCGUGAAGAUGGAGGUGAAACUGAGAGUGAGAGAGAGUAAGUUGAGGAAGUAGGAAAUCACAGUGAGUCGGAGACGGAGGAAGGAAGGUGAGACAGUGAGUCAGGCGGUGGAGGCGGUAGAGAUGGAGGAAGGAAGGUGAGAGAUAGUCUUGAGAGACGAUGAGGAAGAGGUGGCGAAGAGUAACAAGAGUUAACAGAUUAGGUUUUUGCAAUUUCAAUUGUUAGAUGUAUCAGUAUUAUUGUUAUUAACUUAUUAUGUUAUAUAAUAUAUAUU